GAAGAAGAAGGAGAAGAAGAAGAAGAAGAAGUAGGAGGAGAUAAGAAGGGGAAGAAGAAGGAGAAGAAGGAGGGAGAAUAAUAAGGAGGAGAUAAGAAGGAGAAGAAGGAGAAGAAGGAGGGAUCCUUCUCCUCCUCCGCCGUCUCCUUCUUAUUGUCUUCUUCUUCUUCUUCCUUCUUUUCAUUUUUCCUCUUUCUUCUCCUCUUCUCCUCUUCUUCUUCUUCUUCUUCUUCUUCUCCUCCUCCUCCUCUUCUCCUCUUCUUCCUCCUCUUCUUCUUCUUCUACCUCUUAUUUAUAUUUCUAUUUUGCUUUAUCCUCUUCUUCUACUUAUUCUUCGUUUCUUCUUUUUUCUCUGCUUCUCCUUCUUAUUUUUCUUCUUCUUCUUCUCUUCUUCUCUCCUUCUUCUCUUCUUCUUUUCUUCUUCUCCUUCUGAUUUUUUUAGUUCUCCUGCUCCUCCUCCUCCUCUUCUUCUUCUUCUUCNNNNNNNNNNNNNNNNNNNNNNNNNNNNNNNNNNNCUUCUUCUUCUUCUUCUUGUCCUUCUUAUUUUUUUCUUCUCCUCCUCUUCUUCUUCUUCUUCNUCUUCUUCUUCUUCUUAUCCUCCUCCUCCUCCUCCGCCUCCUCCUCUUCUUCUUCUCCUCUUCUCCUCCUCUUCUCCUCCUCUUAUUCUUCUUCUUCUUCUUCCUCCUUUUCUUUCUAUUAAGCUAACUAACUAGUGGCAGAUGGUAUUUAUAUGAAAAGCUAAGAAUAUAGGGCUCAUCAACUAGUACACCGACUACUACAACAACUACAAUAACAACAACAACUACUACAACAACUACAAUAACAACAACUACUACAAUAACUACAAUAACAACAACUACUACNGGGCUCACCGGCAGGGGCGGCUGUGGCGUCGUUGGCCGUGGGGCCAAGGGUGUUGGGGCGGCGGGCCGGUGCGAGGGGUGUUGGGGCUCCAGGGCGGCGGAGGGGGCGGUGAGGCAGCGGUGCUGCGGGCUGUGGAGUACCGGGGCGGCGCCGUGGGCGGAGGGGCGGCGGCGGCGCGACGGUGGUGGCGGUGGUGGGCAUCGGGGAGAGGAGUGGAAGAGAGUAGGGGUGUGGAGCCGUUACACAGUGAGUGAGUGAGAGAGAGAGAGGGGCGGGGUGGGGGCAAAGAGUCGUUACGGAGUUAGCUCUUUGUCGUCUACCGGUGGACGGCAAAGAGUCUAGANNNNNNNNNNNNNNNNNNNNNNNNNNNNNNNNNNNNNNNNNNNNNNNNNNNNNNNNNNNNNNNNNNNNNNNNNNNNNNNNNNNNNNNNNNNNNNNNNNNNNNNNNNNNNNNNNNNNNNNNNNNNNNNNNNNNNNNNNNNNNNNNNNNNNNNNNNNNNNNNNNNNNNNNNNNNNNNNNNNNNNNNNNNNNNNNNNNNNNNNNNNNNNNNNNNNNNNNNNNNNNNNNNNNNNNNNNNNNNNNNNNNNAAAGAGUCUAGACUCUUUGCCGUCUGCCUCCGGACUCUUUGCCGUCAGCUAGCAGACGGCAAAGAAGGGACUCCAGUUUGACCUAACGUCCCUGCGGUCAGGUGGGCCCCACCUGUAUAUUUGUCGUCUGUUGUGCGUCUCUUUGCCGUCCGCGGCUGACGGCAAAGAUGUGACUGAUGGCAAUGACCUUCUAUGGCAUCAGCCAUUUCUUUGUCGUCCGCUUUGUGGCAGCUGACGGCAAAGACACUCUUUGUCGUCUGCUCGUUGAUGGCAAAGAUUUGGCAGACGGCAAAGAACUUAAUUCCAGUAGUGUAUGGCGUUAUUGUUCUAGUGGUGUUACGUGAACAUUAACUACAUAACACUUCGCCUUUUUAAGGACCUAGGGGAAUGCAUCAUGUAUAAAGAAUGCUUAUGGUGGGUGGCCGGAGUGACAAAAACAUGAUCCCCAGUUCACAUGCUUUGCAUGAGGGAGUAUUGGUUCCUAAAGCUUAUUGCUAUGGUUAGGCUUUGCCUUAAUUUAUCUCUUGUAUUUUUCUUGCAAGAGGGAUUAAUCAUAAGAGUGUACUUGUCUUAGCCUAGACGAUGCACUAAUUAAGAUCCACCCACAUAACACUUAUCAAUACAAAACAUAGUACUAGAGAGAGUAUGGCGAACACACUUGACUAUCUCUCUCAUGUGUGCUCAGGAAUGCCUUAGUCUUUAUAAGUUUAGUCCCUUGGCUUAUCGUUUGUGUUUAAAAGGAUUGGGCCACUUGCUGCACCUCGGCACCGUUUACUUUACUUGCAUUUAAUUCCUUGUUGCUUAUACUAGAAAACCCAUAAAAAGUUACCUUUCACUACUUGAAGUUGUUCCUUGCUCAAGAUCACUUGUCAAUACCUCCUGCUCCUCAUUGGGUUCGAAACUCUUACUUAUCGAAAAGGCUACAAUAGAUCCCCUACACUUGUUGGUCAUCAUCCGUUCAGCACUAGAUCGGGAUGGAUCAUGAUGGGAUCGCAUGACGGAUCGUGAUGAGAUCACGGGACGGACUACAAUUUGGAUCGUGAAGAUGUUCCACUACAUAAACCACGUUAUAUACGCUCCGGCUUAGCGUUCUACUAGGGUAUGUAGAUACACUCUCCCCUCUCGUAGAUGGUCAUCACCAUGGAUAGAUCUUAUGUUCACGUAGGAAAAAAAUUUGUUUCCCAUGCGACGUUCCCCAACAACAAGUUAGUAUCAGAGUAGUACCGACCUAGGAGCCCCUUGAUUUAUUGAACUUGGCCGAAUCGAGUCUAGUAAAAAACGUCUUUGAGUCUAGUUAUAUAUCGGAGAGUAGGAUUUAUUUUCUCCUCUUCUAUGCUCUAGUGAGGAAUCUUGACGUAAUAAUUUUAGUUCUACUCCUCUUAUAACUCAAAAAAAUUAGGAUCAUGCGGAUAUUUUUGGAAUCUAUAUGAUGUCGAUGUGACGUAGUUCUGUCUUGGUUCCUCCUAUCUGACUUGAUUUCUUCCGGGGAGUUGAGCUUGAGGGGAGUCUUGACCACAUCGCUAUCAUUCCGAUUUCUUAGUAUCUCAGGACGGAGGAUGUUUAAAAUUGCUUCAACACUAUUAGUGGCGAGAGGUGUCCAACAUCCCUAGUACUGGUGGAGAGAAUUCGGAUGUACUGCCAUACUUGGUAUCAUUGUGAUUACAAAGGUGUGACAUAGAUGAGUUUCCGAGAAUCUGGUUAUGUGUUGACGGAUGUGAUACACUGGACGGGUUAGUGUUAUUGCUAGGAGUUGACUGAUGAAUUUUCUCCUUGUAUCCGUGGAACCGAUUGCAUGACCAGAAGUUUCAGAAGUUCUUAGGUGGGAAUUCAAGUAGUUACUUAUAGGAAAAUCUUCCAACAGAUGCAUGAUGUGAGGUUGGGGUUCAACAUCUCGUGGAGUACCAUGAAAAUAUCGGACAGAAUUUCUGUCAUGAAUUUGUUCUGGCUUUUGUUGUAAGCCUCAUCCUUUGUUUUGUUGGAAUAUGGUUAUUCGAGUUGCUUCGAUGUCAAUUGGUGAUUUCAUAUAUUUUCUAAGUGGUGUUCUCAUAUUUCUAUGGGAAUGCUAAUUAUUUUUCUCAAUCAAAUUGUCUUAUCAAUUCUUGUCAACCAGAGUCAUCAUGUCAAUUCUUUUUCAACCGGUGUGCUUCUCUUCAAGUAAUUCAAUCCUCUCCAAUAUUUUCAAGAUCAACCUCUCAUUUCAUUCUGGAGUUUGUCUCAUCUGCCCUAAGUUGUCAUUGUUUUCCCCGCCCUCCCACCCUUUUCUUUAGUGAUUGGAUUUCAUCCAAGUGCAUUUCUUUUCUUGAUACUUCCGCUAUCUUCUCUUUUGCGUCAUAUCUGGUGAUUCAUUGAGAAGAUUCUCCGGAGUUGCUAGUUCAUCAUUCUUCAUUCUUGUUUUCUUCUCAUGUGGAUUCAUUUCAAGAUUCGGUGUUCAUCAUAUCAUUUUCAUUCGUUCAAUGUUUUUCCCAUGUUGGAAAUUCUUAUUCAAACCUCUCUUGUUUACUCAUCUCUCUCUAUUCUGUCCAGAGUGCUAAAGAUAUCUCAGAAGUUUCUUGUUUUCAAUCCUUUCAAUUAUUUCAAGGUUCUCACCUCAUCAAGUUUUCUUUACACCGGUGCAAUAUCUCUCUUCCUAAGCAAUAUUUUCAAUGGUGGUUUCUUUUGAGUGGGCCCAUAACCAACAGGUUGUUCUCCAAGAUCUUAUCUAGCUACUUUAAUCUUUUCCGGAGAUCCCUAAUUCUUUCAAGUAUGAAGUAAGAAUGAUUUCCAUGAUUCAUAUUUCUUCUUCAAGACCGAUCUGAAUUGUUUAUCAUCAUUGGCUCAACUUUUUCAUUAUUAAUUAUUCCAGAACGUUUGAGUAAUUCUUGAUGGAGAUUCUUUCCAUCAUUCUCAGCUUGGAGAUCGAAGGAGUGUUUCCUUUAAAUCUUCAUGCAUUAUUUAAAAAAUUGUUAUCUCAGCUUCGUGCUUUCGUCUCAACUAUUGUCAACCAUAUGUAAUUCCUUCCAUAUCUAUGUGGUGCAAUUUUGAGUUAUUUUCAUUUCUCGAUCCUCCGAAGGCCAUCAUUUCAGAAGAUUUCUUCGCUCUCAGCUUUCAGCUAUCGUUCUCAAAUUCUUCUCAAUUGUUGUCUCUUCGUUCGUAUCUCAAUUAUUCCGGUGCUUCAUUCAAGUUUUCUGUUAGGUGGCUCAAGCUCUCUCCGUUCUCAUGUAUUCCAUCCAUUUCUAAUAUCCCAGUUUGUUCUAAUUCUUCAGGUGGAUCAUGAUCUCUUCAUUCUCAUGUAUCUUAUUUCAUUCAUUUGCAAUUCUUACCGGUGGCUUGUUCAAGCAUUCUCGAAUCAUGCUCUCUUUGUCCCCAUGUAGCCCACAUAAUUCAACUUAUCCUCCUUUAUUCCAAAUUCUUACCGGUGGUUCCUUCAAGACUUAUUCAAGUGUGUGCCUUAUCUAUGUCUCUUUUGUCUUUUCAAGAAGAAUAAGUGGCACGCUAAAUCCGUUGCUUGUCAUCAAUUUAACUUGAUGAAGGAUAGGCAUAACAUAAUUCUUAUUCUUAUUGCACCAGGUGAUUUCAAUUCUUCUUCCGGAGUGUCUCAUGAUAUCAAAUUCUUUAUCCCAAGUGCUUCAUCUUUCUUUUCCGGAGUUCAAGUUUUCCCAAGUUUCUGUUGGCGAAGUUCCAUCUAAUUCUUUGCAAGGCCAUAAUCUUAUUCUUCAUCCUUCAUUUGUUUUCAUCAUUCUUUUGUUCUAGAGGUUCUUCAUGGUGGUUCAUCAAGGAUUUAAUUCUUUCCCAAGGUGUUUUUCAAGAUUCUUGUGUUGGUACCUCUAGUAUUCUUUACCUUGCAUUUCAAAGUGCAAUUAUUCCUCCUUGUCCUUUGAGGUGGUGUUGUAGAAUUCUUGUUAGUGGAGGAUUCUCGAAGGGAAUUGCUUCAAGAAUGAGAUAAUUAAACCCACAAAUUCCUCCAAUUAUGAGAUAUUUUCAACCCAUGAUUUCUUCAUUAAGCUAUCUUUGUUAGGAUUUCACCUAAAGCUUUUCCUGUGGAUUGUUGCUAUCAUGGUGAUUAUCAUUGAUCCAAGUUCUCAAUGUAUCAUCUUGGUGAAAGAAGUUCUCCAAGUCUUCUUGCUCCCAAGCAGUGUUUCUUUCUAUUAGUAGCUGGUUGUCAACUCAUUAUUUGAGAUGGUUUUUCAUAAGUCCAAUACAACCUUGUUCUAUUCAUUUUUGAUUUUCCGAUAACUCCAUUCAUUACUUUUUGCAAGGAUGCUUACCAAAUUCAAUUGUGGUAGUAGUUGUCAUUUUUCUUCUUCAUUCUAACUUCACAAUGAUCUAGUUUCUAUUCUCUUGUUUUGGAGCUGUUGUGAUCUUGGUCUCUUUUAUCCAUUAUAUAGUUGUGUCAAAGAUCGUUUUCUUUCCUUUCUUAUUGAUUUAACCGGAGUGUUGUGUCUUCUUUCAUGUUCUUCCUUCCAUAUCAAUUUACUUGGUUUGUUGUGAAUCUUGUCAAGAUAUUUCCAUCUAUCAAAUUUUUUCCUCAAUUUCCUACCGAAGUGCUGCCGAAAUUUCUAUUGAAUUCUUGCUUGUUCCUCAUGUCAUUCUUCAUCUCGUUGCAGCAUGUAAGAUUCGUCGGUUUCACUCAUUUGACAUAGAAGAAACUAAGUUUUACCUCUUGCUCUUUCUCAUCCUCUUCCCCUUUCAUUCUUAGAUCUCGGGGGCGAGAUCUCUUGUUAGUUAGGAGAGUUGUAACAGCCCGGAACCGAUGCCCCAGAAGAUCCCCCUUUUAGUCCAUUGCCGUCAUGUGAUUUAAUUGUUUGUCGCAUUCAUAAUGUCAUCAUGCCAUCAUGUCAUCAAUUUUUUUGCAUCUCAAAUAAAUAAAUUGCAUAGAUCUUUGGAUCUAUUUAAAUUGAGGGAUUCACAUGAUGAUUCUCUUUAUAACAUGUCCUCCCAAUAUUUUAGGGAGCUACUAUAAAAUAUUCCAUUAACUCGAAUCAACCAACACACUUGCAAAUUAAAUGUUCAUGCCUUUUACACUCCAUGUUUGGUCUCGAGACUUUGCCCAUGAUUCCUUUUGUAACAUUCCCAAGCUCCACCAUAGUUCUCUUCACUUUGGACUCUUCAAAAACCUUGUCCUAGUGCAAACCUUUGGAAUUAAUUUAAAUCUCGUCUUCAUGCAACUUCUACUUUCUUGGGUCAAGCUUAUUUUUGUGAGUCGAGGAAAUCAACCCCCCCAUGCCUAAAAAUCCAUCUCUAGUGAUCUUAUUUCCUCUCCUUUUUCUUCCCUGCUUAUUCUUUUUCUAUUUGGCAAAUGGAAGAUGUGAGAGAGAGAGGCCCACCGCUGCCAGGCCAACCCAUUGGGCCAAGGCCCAGUCAACCCCCUAUAACCCUAGCACCAGGGAGAGAGAUCCCUCGCUCAAUUCCCUCCCGACCGCCGCCGACCCCUGCCCAACCCCCAUCUCGCUCUCCUCUCGAUCGCUCCCACUUGUUCCCUCCAGUGCCGCCACACACGCACACAUAUCAUAGGGAGGAGCUCCUAGCCCCCGAUCCCCAAGACUGCAGUCUCCUCCUCCAUCGAGCUCGCCUUCCAUGACCGUGCUCACCCCUGCAUCGCUCUCCCAGCACCAGGAGAGCAUCGCUCGACACCCUGGCUCUGGCGACCCGGCCGUCGUCAGCCUCAUCUCCUCGCCGUUGCCCUACCGUCCAUCACUGGAUCGGUGCCCCACCACCGGAUCUCCCCGUCGCUGUCCAAGGAGAUUCUUCAGUUGCGCCAUGGACGCCCGUCGAAGCUUCAACCCAAGCCAUGCAGCUCGUCGCCUCGCGCGUGUUUUGUACAGCUCACCCAUGCAGGUCCCCUGCGCUCCAUCACCAUUCCCGUCGGACCAGGCCAUCAUCUCUCCCGUGCACCUCCUUCAUCCACGCGAGCACGCCGCGCCCGAACCAUGUCCUCAACCUCAUGCACCCGGCAGCAGCUCCGCCCUCCUCCGCGUGCUCGCCCCCAUCUCCUCAAGCCAGCCUAUAGUAGCCAUGGCGUCGCCUGAUAUGUCUCAAACGUAUCUAUAAUUUCUGCUUGUUCCAUGAUCUUUUAGGUGACAUUGUUAUAUGUUUUGCUACACUUUUAUAUCAUUUUACACAUAUUUGGACUAACCUACUAACUCAGUGCAUCCAUUGCCAGUUUUUGUCUGCUGAUGUCUUUUUUCCACGGGCUUUUACCCAAUUUUCCGAAGCCCGAAAAAAUCCAGAAAAAUAUAUAAAAACAAUGAGCAAAACAGAAGCUUGGGGAUCACCGAAGGGGGGGCAGAGGGGGGCCAGGGGCUUCCCAGUCGGCCUGCUGGCGUGGCCAGGCGCUAGGCUGCGCCAGGAGGUCGCCUGGGUGGGUCCCACCUCCUCUGGUGCCCUCCUUUGGCCUAUAUUUAGAGAUCCAUGAGGAAACCCUCGCAGACUUUCUAGACUCACGAAUUUCUCCAUCGUUCCGCCGUAGCAGCGCUUCCGAGAUCGGGAGCAUCAGGAGACCUCUUCCCGGCACCCUGCCGGAGGGAGGAUUGACCUCUGGGAGCUUCUCCACCACCACGGACGCUUCCCGGAUGUGCCGUGAGUAGUUUCCCUUGGACCAUGAGUCCAUGACCAGUAGCUAUGUGAUAUCUUCUCUCCAAUCUUGUGCUUCAGUGGUUAGUCCUUGUGAGCUGCCCUACAUGAUCAAGGCAUCUAUGUAAUUCUCUUGAUAUUGCUAUGCUCGGUUUGUUGGGAUCCGAUAGAUUAUGAGAUUAUGUUCAGAUUGUUAUGAGUUAUAUAUUUGAAUAUCCUUUUAUAUUUUGUUCCUUAGUGAUUCAUGCAUGUUCUCCUUUGAUUUUUAUUGCUUUGGCCAAGUAGUAGAUCGUAACUCCAAGAGGGACCGUUAUGCAUGAUUGUGGGUUCGGGCCCCUCGAUGUCUAGCUUGAGUGACAGAAACAUGAGACUAGGGUAUGUGCUUGUUGCCACGAGGGAGAAAACAACGGUGCUUGUGACUACGGUAUCAAGGAUUGUUUACCUUACGCAUAGUUCGUUAAUGCAGUUGUCCGUUGCUUUGAGUUUACACUUUGGGUGGGGCUCGCAACUUAAUACCAGAGAGAUGUUCUAGAUAGAUAUUUCAAGGUGGAUGAUUAGUAAGUAGAUGCUGAUGAAUAAAAUGUUGGGGAACAUUGCAUGGGAAACAGAAAAUUUCCUACGCACACGAAGACCUAUCAUGGUGAUGUCCAUCUACGAGAGGAGAUUUGGAUCUAUGUUCCCUUGUAGAUUGCACAACAGAAAGCGUUAAGAACCGCGGGUGAUGUAGUGGAACGUCCUCACGUCCCUCGAUCCGCCCGACGAACGAUCCCAUGAUCCGUCCCACGAUCCGUUCCGAUCUAGUGUCGAACGGAUGACACCUACGCGUUCAACACACGUACAGCUCAACGAUGAUCUCGGCCUUCUUGAUCCAGCAAGCAAGACGGAGAAGUAGAUGAGUUCUCCGACAGCGUGAUGGCGCUCCGGUGGUGGUGACGAUCUACUCCUGCAGGGCUCCGCCCGAGCUCCGUAGAAAUACGAUCUAGAGGAAGAACUAUGGUGUCUAGAUCCGAGUUGCACGUGGCAAAAGUUGUCUCAAAUCAGCCCUAGACCACCACUAUAUAUAGGAGGGAGGGGGAGGAGGCUUGCCUUGAGGGCCAAGCCCUCAAGGGUGUGCCGGCCAAGGGAGAGGAGGAUUCCUACUCCAAUCCUACUCCAAUUAGGAUUGGAAAGUGGAGUCCUUCUCUUCCUUCCCACCUCUUUUUUUCUUUUUCUUUGGUUUUCUUUCCUUGGUACCAAGGCCGUCUUAGGAUGUCCCACAAGACCACUAAGGGUGGUGCGCCACCCCUAAGGCCAUUGGGCUUCCCCCGGGUGGGUUUCCCAUGCCCGGUGAACUUCCGGAACCCAUUUGUCACUCCCGGUACAAUCCCGGUAAUGCCCGAAAACAUUCCGGUAACCAAAUUAAGUCAUCCUAUAUAUCAAUCUUCGUUUCCGAACCAUUCCAGAAACCCUUGUGCCGUCCGUGAUCUCAUCCGAGACUCCGAACAACAUUCGGUAACCACACAUAUAACUCAAAUAUAAUAAAUAUCAUCGAACCUUAAGUGUGCAGACCCUGCGGGUUCGACAACUAUGUAGACAUGCCCCGAGGUACUCCUCGGUCAAUAUCCAAUAGCGGGACCUGGAUGCCCAUAUUGGAUCCUACAUAUUCUUCAAAGAUCUUAUCGGUUGAACCUCAGUGUCAAGUAUUCAUAUAAUCACGUAUGUCAUUCCCUUUGUCCUUCGGUAUGUUACUUGCCCAAGAUUCGAUCGUCGGUAUCCGCAUACCUAUUUCAAUCUCGUUACCAGCAAGUCUCUUUACUCGUUCCAUAAUACAAGAUCCUUUGACUUACACUUAGUCACAUUGCUUGCAAGGCUUGUGUGUGAUGUUGUAUUACCGAGUGGGCCCCGAGAUACCUCUCCAUCACACAAAGUGACAAAUCCCAGUCUUGAUCCAUACUAACUCAAUGGACACCUUCGGAGAUACCUGUAGAGCACCUUUAUAGUCACCCAGUUACGUUGUGACGUUUGAUGCACACAAGGUAUUCCUCCGGUGCCAGUGAGUUAUAUGAUCUCAUGGUCAUAGGAACAAAUACUUGACACGCAGAAAACUAUAGCAAUAAAACGACAUGAUCAAUAUGCAACGUUCAUAGUUUGGGUCUUGUCCAUCACAUGAUUCCCCUAAUGAUGUGAACCCCUUAUCAAGUGACAACACUUGUCUAUGGUUAGGAAAACUUGACCAUCUUUGAUCAACGAGCUAGUCAACUGGAGGCUUACUAGGGACAAUGUUUUGUCUAUGUAUCCACACAUGUAUUUGUGUUUCCAAUCAAUACAAUUAUAGCAUGGAUAAUAAACGAUUAUUAUGAACAAGGAAAUAUAAUAAUAACUAAUUUAUUAUUGCCUCUAGGGCAUAUUUCCAACAGUCUCCCACUUGCACUAGAGUCAAUAAUCUAGUUCACAUCACCAUGUGAUUUUAACGAAUCCAACACCCAUAUAGUUCUGGGGUCUGAUCAAGUCUUUCUCGUGUGAGAGGUUUUAGUCAACGGUUCUAAAACUUUCAAAUCUGUGUGUGCUCUACAAAUCUUUAUGUCAUCUUAUAGAUGCUGCUACUACGUGCUAUUCAGAAAUACUCCAAAUAUCUACUCUACUAUACAAAUCCGUCUUACUACUCAUAGUUAUUUGGAUUAGUUUCAGAGCUUGCAUCGACGUAACCCUUUACGAUGAACUCUUUAACCACCUCCAUAAUUGAGAAAAAUUCCUUAGUACAUUAGUUACUAAGGGUCAAUUUGACCGUUGUUCAGUGAUUCAAUCAUGUAUCACUCUCUGUACCUCUUAACAGACUUGUGGCAAGGCACACAUCAGGUGCGGCAUAGAGCAUGGCAUACUUUAGAGUCUAUGUCUAAGGCAUAGGAGACGACCUUCGUACUUUCUCUUUCUUCUGCCGUGGUGGGGUUUUGAGUCUUUACUCAAAUUCACACCUUACAACACAGCUAGGAACUCCUUCUUUGCUGAUCUAUUUUGAACUCCUUCAAAAACUUGUCAAGGCAUGUAUUUCAUUGAAAGUUCUAUUAAGCAUUUUGAUCUAUCUCUAUAGAUCUUGAUGCUCAACGUUCAAGUAGCUCUAUCCAGGUUUUCCUUUGAAAAACUCCUUUCAAACAACCCUUUAUGCAUCAUAGAAAUUCUACAUUACUUCAGAUCUACAAUAUGUCAACCACAUAUACUUAUCAGAAAUUCUAUAGUGCUCCCACUCACUUCUUUGGAAAUACAAGUUUCUCACAAACCUUGUACAAACCCAAAAGCUUUGAUCAUCUCAUCCAAGUGUAUAUUCCAACUCCGAGAUGCUUGCAUACUUGUUAGUAUCCUUAGGAUCGACAAAACCUUCUGGUUGUAUCACAUACAACCUUUCCUCAAGGAAACCGUAGAGGAAACAAUGUUUUGACAUCCUACGUGCAAUAUUUCAUAAAUAAUGCAGCAACUACUAACAGAAUUGCAACAGACUUUUAGCAUUGCUACGAGUCAGAAAGUCUCAUCAUAGUCAACUCUUUGAUCAUGUUGGAAACAUCUUUCCGACAAGUCGAGCUUUUCUUAAUGGUGACUUUUCACCAUCAUCGUCUAUCUUUCUUUCAAAGAUCCAUAUUUACUUUAGUAGUCUUACUAGCAUCAAGUAGUUCUUCCAAAGUCUAUACUUUGUCUUCAUACAUGGAUCCUCUCUCGGAUUUCAUGGCGUCCAGCCAGUUGUCGGAAUCCGGGCCCACCAUCGCUUCUCCAUAGCUCGUAGAUUCAUUGUUGUUCAACAACAUGACCUCCAAGACAGGGUUACCGUACCAUUCUGUAGUAGUACGCGACCUUUGUCGACCUAUGAGGUUUGUAGUAACUUGAUCUAAAGCUCAAUGAUCACCAUUAUCAGUUUCCACUUCAAUUGGUGUAGGCGCCACAGGAACAUCUUCAUGCGCCCUGCUACACACUGUUUUAAGUGACGUUCACUAACCUCAUCAAGUUCCACCACCCUCCCACUCAAUUCUUUCGACAAAUACCUUUCCUCGAGAAAGGACCCAUUUCUAUAAACAAACACUUUGCUUCCAUAUCUGAGAUAGGAGAUGUAUCCAACUGUUUUGGAUAUCCUAUGAAGAUGCAUUUAUCCGCUUUGGGUUCGAGCUUAUCAGACUGAAACUUUUUCACAUAAGCAUCGCAGCCCCAAACUUUCAAGAAAGGACAACUUAGGUUUCUCGAAACCAUAAUCUAUAAUGUGUCAUCUCAACGGAAAUACGCGGUGCCCUAUUUAAAGUGAAUGCGGUUGUCUCUAAUGCAUAACCCAUAAACGAUAGUGGUAAUUCGAUAAGAGACAUCAUAGUAUGCACCACAUCAAAUAAGGCGCGGCUAUGACGUUCGGACAAACCGUAACACUAUGGUGUUCUAGGUGGCAUAAAUUGUGAAACAAUUUCCACAUUGUCUUAACUGCGUACCAAAAACUCGCAACUCAGAUAUUCAUCUCUAUGAUCAUAUCGUAGACAGUCUAUCCUCUUGUCAUGACGAUCUUCACUCUGAAAUAGCUAUGAACUUUUCAAUAUUUCAGACUUGUGAUUCAUCAAGUAAAUAUUCUUGUAUCUACUCAAAUCGUCAGUGAAGUAAGAUCUUAAUGAUAUCCACUGCGUGCCUCAACACUCGGACUGCACACAUAAAAAAUGUAUCACUCCCAACAAGUUACUCUCUUGUUCCAUGUGGUAUGUUUUGCAUGUCUCAAGUGAUUCAAAAUCAAGUGGGUCCAAACGAUCCAUCUGCAUGGAGUUUCUUCAUGUGUUUUACACCAACAUGACUCAAGCGGCAGUGCCACAAGUAAGUGGUACUAUCAUUAUUACUUUGCAUCUUUUUGGCACAAAUAUUAUGAACAUGUGUAACACUACGAUCGAGAUUCAAUAAACCAUUGAAGGUAAUUAUUCAAGCAAAUAGAAUAACCAUUAUUCUCUUUAAAUGAAUAAUCAUAUUGCAAUAAACACGAUCUAAUCAUGUUCAUGCUCAACGCAAACAUCAAAUAACAAUUAUUUAGGUUUAACACCAAUCCCGAUGGUAGAGGGAGCGUGCGAUGUUUGAUCACAUCAACCUUGGAAACACUUCCAACACGUAUCGUCACCUCGCCUUUAGCUAGUCGCCGUUUAUUCCGUAGCUUUUAUUUCGAGUUAGUAAUCACUUAGCAAUCGAACCAGUAUCUAAUACCCUCGUGGUAUUAGGAGUACUAGUAAAGUACACAUCAAUAUCAUGUAUAUCAAAUAUACCUUUGUUGACUUCGCCAGCCUUCUCAUCUACCAUGUAUCUAGGGUAGCUACGCCUCAGUGACCGUUCCCGUCAUAACAGAAGCACUUAGUCUCGGGUUUGGGUUCGAUCUUGGGUUUCUUCAUUAGAGCAGCAACUCGUUUGCCGUUUCAUGAAGGGUCCCUUCUAGCCCUUUCCCUUCUUGAAACUAGUGGUUUUACUAACCAUCAACUAUUGAUGCUCCUUCUUGAUUUCUACUUUCGCAGUGUCAAACAUUGCGAAUCGCUCAAGGAUCAUAAUAUCUAUGCUUGAUAUGUUAUAGUUCAUCAUGAAGCUCUAGCAGCUUAGUGGCAAUGACUUUGGGAGAACAAUCACUGUCUCAUCUGGAAGAUUGACUCCCACUUGAUUCAAGUGAUUUGUUGCACUCAGACAAUCUGACAACACGCUCAACGAUUUGAGCUUUUCUCCUUUAGUUUGUAGACAAAGAAUCUUGUAGGAGGUCUCAUACCUCUCAACAAGGGCACGAGCAUGAAAUCUCAAUUUCAUCUCUUAGAACAUCUCAUAUGUUCCGCGACGUUUCAAAACGUCUUCGGCGCCUUGCUUCUAAGCUAUCAAGUAUUUAUGCACUGAACUAUCACGUAAUCAUCAAAAAACGUGUAUGUCAGAUGUUCACAACAUCCACAGACGACGCUCGAGGUGCAGCACACUGAGUAGUGCAUUGAGGACAUAAGCCUUCUGCGCAGCAAUGAGGACAAUCCUGAGUUUUACGGACUCGGUCCGCAAAGUUGCUAUUAUCAACUUUCAACUAAAUUUUCUCUACGAACAUAUAAAAAUAGUAGAGCUAUAGCGCAAGCUACUUCGUAAUUCGCAAAGACCAUUAGACUAUGUUCAUGAUAACUAGUUCAAUUAAUCAUAUUAGUUAAGAACUCCCACUCAAAAAGUACAUCUCUUUAGUCAUUUGAGUGGUACAUGAUCCAAAUCCACUAACUCAAGUACGAUCAUCACGUGAGUUGAGAAUAGUUUGAGUGGUAAGAAUCUCUAUCCUAAUCAUAUCAACUAUACGAUUCAUGCUCGACCUUUCGGUCUCAUGUGUUCCGAGGCCAUGUCUGCACAUGCUAGGCUCAUCAAGCUUAACCCGAGUGUUUCGCGUGUGCAACUGUUUUGCACCCGUUGUAUGUCAACGUUGAGUCUAUCACACCCGAUCAUAACGUGGUGUCUCGACAUGAUGAAUUGUCGCAACGGUGCACAGUCGCGGAGAACACAAUUUUGUCUUGAAGUAUUAGUGAGAGAUCACCUCAUAAUGCUACCUCCGUUCUAAGCAAAAUAAGGUGCAUAAAAGGAUUAACACUACAUGCAAUUCAUAAGUGACAUGAUAUGGCCAUCAUCAUGUGCUUCUUGAUCUCCAUCACCAAAGCACCGGCAUGAUCUUCUUCUCACCGGCGCCACACCAGGAUCUCCAUCAUCAUGAUCUCCAUCAACGUGUCGCCAUCGGGGUUGUCGUGCUACUUAUCCUAUUACUACUAAAGCUACGACCUAGCAAUAUAGUAAAUGCAUCUGCAAACACAAAUGUUAGUUUAAAGACAACCCUAUGGCUCCUGCCGAUUGCCGUAGCAUCGACUUGCAAGUCGAUAUUAACUAUUACAACAUGAUCAUCUCAUACAUCCAAUAUAUCACAUCACGUCAUUGGCCAUAUCAUAUCACAAGCAUACCCUGCAAAAACAAGUUAGACGUCCUCUAAUUUGUUGUUGCAUGUUUUACGUGGCUGCUACGGGUAUCUAGUAUGAUCGCAUCUUACUUACGCAAAAACCACAACGGAGAUGUGCAAAUUGCUAUUUAACCUCUCCAAGGACAACCUCAGUCAAAACCAAUUCAAUUAAAGUUGAAGAAACCGACACCCGCGAGUCAUCUAUAUGCAACGAGGUUGCAUGUUCAUACAUCUCAAACGUAUCUUUAAUUUUUGAUGGUUUCACGCUGUUAUCUUGUCUUCUUUGGUUGUUUUAUGUACCUUUUAUAUCUUUUCUGGGACUAACUUAUUAAUUCAGUGCCAAGUGCUAGUUCCUGUUUUUUCCGUGUUUUUGACUCUUUUCACAUCUGAUUUUGGAACGGAGUCCAAACAGAAGAAAAACCCUGAAAUGAUUUUUUCCCAAACGGAAGAAGAUCAGGGGGCCUCUGAGCCAAGCCAGGUGGGCUCCAGGGAGCCCACAAGCCCCCACUCCGCCACCAGGGGGAGGCGGCGGUGGGUAGGCUUGUAGCCUCCCUGGCCGCCCCCACACCUAGGUCUUUGGCCUAUAAAUUCCCAAAUAUUCCGCAAAAAACCAGGGAGCCUGGAAAAUACUUUUCCGCCGCCACAAGCUUCCGUUUCCGCGAGAUUUCAUCUUGAGACCCUUCCCGGCACCCUGCCGGAGGGGACUUUGGAGUUGGAGGGCUUCUUCAUCAUCAUCAUUGCCCCUCCAAUGACUCGUGAGUAGUUCACUUUAGACCUACGGGUCCGUAGUUAGUAUCUAGAUGGAUUCUUCUCUCUCUUGGAUCUUCAAUACAAAGUUCUCCAUUAUCUUCAUGGAGAUCUAUCCGAUGUAAUCUUGUUUGGCGGUGUGUUUGUCGAGAUCCGAUGAAUUGUUGAUUUGUGAUCAGAUUAUCUAUGAUAUUUAUUUGAGUCUUUGCCGAUUUCUUAUAUGCAUGAUUUGAUAUCCUUGUAAGUCUCUCCGAGUCUUGGGUUUUGUUUGGCCAACUAGAUCUAUGAUUCUUGCAAUGGGAGAAGUUCUUGGUUUUGGGUUCUGCCAUGUGGUGACCUUUCCCAGUGACAGUAGGGGCAGCAAGGCACACAUCAAGUAGUUGCCGUCAAGGGUAAAAAGAUGGGGUUUUUAUCAUUGGUUUGAGAUUAUCCCUCUACAUCAUGUCAUCUUGCUUAAGGCGUUACUCUGUUCUUGUGGACUUAACACACUAGGUGCAUGAUGGAUAGCGGUCGACGUCUGGAUUAAUAGUAGUAGAUGCAGACAGUAUCGGACUACUUGUUUUGGACGUGAUGCCUACAGAAAUAAUCAUUGCAUAGAUAUCGUCAGGACUUUGCGCGGUUCUAUGAAUUGCUCGACAGUAAUUUGUUCACCCACCGUCUACUUGCUUUCAUGAGAGAAGCCACUAGUAAACACUAUGACCCUCGGGUCUAUUCACAUCCAUCGUUUACAUCUCCGCUUUUACUUUGCUUUGUUACUUUGUUGCUUUCAGUUCUCACUUGGCAAACAAUCUAUAAGGGAUUGACAACCCCUUCAUAGUGUUGGGAGCAAGUUUUUGUGUUUGUGCAGGAUCUGAGAUACUCCUCCACUGGAUUGAUACCUUGGUUCUCAAACUGAGGGAAAUACUUACCAUCGCUACGCUACAUCACCCUUUCCGCUUUGAGGGAACACCAACUCAAGGCUCCAAGGCCACGGGGGAAAUCCUUUGCAUACUUUCCUAGGAAGUCCCUUAAGGCGUAGCCGCAGCAUGAAGAUCAAGCCAAGUAUUCUCCCGUCGACGUGCCUAUUUCUGGCGCCGUUGCCGGGGAUACACAGCUGACAUCAGAAUUAUUUCUGGCGCCUUUGGAAGGUCUUUUGUUGCAGUAGCAGAAGUAUUUCUGGCGCCGUUGCCGGGGAGGAUAAAUCAAGAUCUAUCCAAGUAGGUCUCACAAACUCAUCUCCUACAUCUACUUUUGUUGCCAGUUGCCUCUCGUUUUCCUCUCCCCCACUUCACAUUUGCCGUGUUCAUUUGCCUUUUUCCGUUCGCCCUUCUUCCGCUCGCUUUCUUUUUGCUUGUGUUACCAUGUGCCUUCUUUUAGCUUGCAUCUUUGCUUGCUAAAAAUCCAUUGAUAUGGAUCCUCAUCCACUAGCUAGUCUCUUUAAGAGACCCACUAUUGUUGAACGAAUUGCUAGUGAGUUGAGGACACUUGACUAUCUUUAUGGACUUUUGCUUGAGAGGCGUGAAUCUGAAAAUCGUGAUGAAGAAAUUCAUGAAGUGAUUCACGAGGGCUCCUUGGAUGAAAAGCAUGAAUGCAAUGAUUUCACUAUAAAUCCUAUUAGUGAAAAUCAUGCUAAAAAUAUGCAAAACCCUAAGCUUGGGGAUGCUAGUUUUUCUAUGUCCCCUAGUUGUUGCAAUAAUCAUGAUUGGGGUGAUGAUCUUUCUUAUGAUCUUGAAAAUUUGUUCAAACCUCAUGAUGAAUAUGAUAUUUGCAACAAUACUGAAAGUGGGAUUGGAGAAGUCAUGACUUUAUUUGAUGAUAAUCCCACUAUUUUUGAAGAGCGUCAACUUUGCAUGCAUGUGGAUCAUGAAAAGAAUAUCCUAUGGGAUAGCUAUAUUGUUGAAUCUGAAUAUGAUCCCACAUGUAAUUGCCAUGAGAGAGGAAAAUAUUUUGGUAGAAACUUCCAUGUUACCAAAUCACCUCUCGUGAUGUUGAGAUUGCUCUUGUCUCUUUCUUCUUCCUUGCAUAUGGCAACUAUUGGUUGUCUUGACAAUCUGUUUUCCUAUCAAAUGCCUAUGCAUAGGAAUUAUGUUAGACUUUUAUGUGAUUUUCACAUGCUUUAUGAUGCUCUCGUUGUGCUUCAAUUCUUGUCUUUUGUGUGAGCAUCAUCAAUGCCUAGCUAAGGGCGUUAAACAAAAGCGCUUGUUGGGAGGCAACCCAACGAAUUUAUCCUUUUUUUUCUGUUUUGUGUUUUCCACACUUUCAUAAUUCUGUUAUGAUUGUGUUUUUUGUGUUUCUUUUUGCGUUUGUGCCAAGCAAAACCGUUAUGAUUAGUCUUGGGGAUGAUCGUUUGGUCAUGCUGGAAAAGACAGAAACUUUCUGCUCACGAAAAUAAUUUUCAUUUCUUUUUAUCUAAGAGCUUUUGAGUUGAUUCUUUUUGCUGCUGAUUUCUACGAGAAUUCUUAAGACUGUCGUAAUUGUUCAGAAUUUUUGAAGUACGAUAGGUAUACGAAAUAUACAGAUUGCUACAGACUGGUCUACUGUUAACAGAUUCUGUUUUUGUUGUGUUGGUUGCUUAUUUUGAUGAAACUAUGGAUAGUAUCGGGGGGUAUUAGCCAUGGAAGAUUGAAAAUACAGUAACCCAACAUCAGCACAAGUAGAAAUUAAGUUUGCUACAGUACCUAAGGAAGUGGUGGUUUGCUUUCUUGUACUAAUGUUAUCACGAGUUUAUGUUUAAGUUUCGUGUUGUGAAGUUUUCAAGUUUUGGGUGAAGUUCUUAUGGACAAAAAGAUAAAGUGUGGCAAGAGCUCAAGCUUGGGGAUUCCCAAGGCACCCCAAGAGAUUCAAGGAUGCCGUAAAAGCCUAAGCUUGGGGAUGCCCCGGGAAGGCAUCCCUCUCUCAUCUGCAAUUCAUCGGUAACGUUACUUGGGGCUAUAUUUUUAUUCACCACAUGUUAUGUGUUUUUUCUUGGAGCGUCUUGUAUCGUAGGAGUCUUUUAUUUUUGUUGUUUCACAAUCAUCAUUUCUGCAUGCCUAGAGAGAGAGACAUGCACACACCGUGAUUUUGUCGAGCUUCACUUAUAUCUUUUGGGUAGACAAUUCAGCUCACAUGUGCUUCACUUAUAUCUUUUGAGCUAGAUACUUUUGCUCUAUGUGCUUCACUUAUAUCUUUUAGAGAACAGCGGUGCAUGGCUUGGUAGUUGAUCUAUGAUUUGAAUGUAGUCUCAAAAGGGGUAGUUAUCCAAAGGGAUACGAAAACUUCCACGUUCAUGUGCAUUGAAUAGUUAGAGAAGUUUGAUUCAUCUCAAUUAGUUUUGAGUUGUGGUUAUGGUAAUAUUAAAGUCAUGCUAGUAAGGUGUUGUGGAUCUAGAAAUACUUGUGUUGAAGUUAGUGAUUCCCGUAGCAUGCACAUAUGGUGAACCACUAUGUGAUGAAAUCUGAGCAUGAUUAGUCUAUUGAUUGUCAUCCUUUGCGUGGCGGUCGGGAUCGCGCGAUGGUUUAUACCUACCAACCCUUCCCCUAGGAGUAUGCGUUGAAUGCUUUGUUUCGAUUACUAAUAAAACUUUUGCAACAAUUAUAUGAGUUAUUCAUGACUAAUGUUGAGUCCAUGGUUUAGAUGCACUUUCACCUUCCACCAUCACUAUCUGCUUAGUGCUGUGCAACUUUCGCCGGUGCACAAAACCCACCAUUAGCCUCCCUCAAAACAGCCACCAUACCUACCUACUAUGUCUUUUUCAAAGUCAUUCCGAGAUAUAUUGCCAUGCAACUACCACCAUGACAUGUGCCACCACGUCUACAUUGCCAUUGCAUGAUCGUAAGAUAGCUAGCAUGAUGUUUCCAUUGAUGUUUAUGCCAUGCUAGAUCAUUGCCACGGUACACUACCGAAGGCAUUCCAUAUAGAGUCAUCAUUACUCUAAGUUUUGAGUUGAAAGUGUGAUGAUCAUCAUUAAUGGAGCAUUGUCCCAUGUGAGGAAAUAAAAGAGGCCAAAGAAGCCCACCAAAAAAAAGAGGCCAAAGAGCCCACCAAAAUAAAAAUAAAAAAGAGAGAAAAAGAGAGAAGGGACAAUGCUACCACUUUUUCCACACCUGUGCAUAUUAAGCACCAUGAUCUUCAUGAUUGAGAGUCUCUCGUUUUGUCACCACCAUAUAGCUAGUGGGAAAUUUUCAUUAUAUAACUUGGCUUGUAUAUUCCGAUGAUAGGCUUCCUCAAAAUUGCCUUAGGUCUUCGUGAGCAAGCAAGUUGGAUGCACACCCACUAGUUUUCUUUAAGAGCUUUCACAUACUCAUAGCUCUAGUGCAUCAACUGUAUGGAAAUCCCUACUCAUUCACAUUGAUAUCUAUUGAUGAGCAUCUCCACAGCUCAUUGAUAUGCCUAGUUAAUGUGACUAUCUUCUCCUUUUUGUCUUGCAACCUCCAUCACAUUCCACACCAUCUAUAGUGUUAUAACCAUGGCUCACGCUCAUGUAUUGCGUGAGAGUUGAAAAGGUUUGAGAAAGUAAAGGUGUGAAACAAUUACUUGGCCAAUACUGGGGUUGUGCAUGAUUUAAAUUCAUUGUGCAAUGAUGAUAGAGCAUAGCCAGACUAUAUGCUUUUGUAGGGAUAACUUUCUUUUGGCCUUGUUAUUUUGAAAGUUCAUGAUUACUUUGCUAGUUUGCUUGAAUUAUUAUUGUUUCCACAUCAAUAGCAAACUAUUGUUUUGAAUCUAAUGGAUCUGAACAUUCACGUCACAUAACAGGAAUUACAAAGGACACCUAUGCUAGGUAGCUUGAAAGAAUCAAAAAUUCAUUCUUAUCACUUCCCUACUCGAGGACGAGUAGGAGUUAAGCUUGGGGAUGCUUGAUAAGUCUCAAAUGUAUUUAUAAUUUUUGAUGGUUUCACGCUGUUAUCUUGUCUUCUUUGGUUGUUUUAUGUACCUUUUAUAUCUUUCUUGGGACUAACUUAUUAAUUCAGUGCCAAGUGCCAGUUCCUGUUUUUUCCGUGUUUUUGACUCUUUUGAGAUCUGAUUUUGGAACGGAGUCCAAACGGAAGAAAAAUCCCGAAAUGAUUUUUUCCCGAACGGAAGAAAAUCAGGGGGCCUUUGGGACAAGCCACGUGGGCUCGAGGGAGCCCACAAGCCCCCACUCCGCCACCAAGGGGGAGGCGGCGGUGGGCAGGCUUGUGGCCUCCCUGGCCGCCCCCUGACCUAGGUCUUUGCUCUAUAAAUUCCAAAGUAUUCCGCAAAAAACCAGGGGAGCCUUGAAAAUACUUUUCUGCCGCCGCAAGCUUCCGUUUUCGCGAGAUCUCAUCUGGAGACCCUUCCCGGCACCCUGCCGGAGGGGAAUUUGGAGUUGGAGGGCUUCUUUAUCAUCAUCAUUGCCCCUCCAAUGACUCGUGAGUAGUUCACUUCAGACCUACGGUUCCGUAGUUAGUAGCUAGAUGGAUUCUUCUCUGUCUUGGAUCUUCAAUACAAAGUUCUCCAUGAUCUUCAUGGAGAUCUCUCCGAUGUAAUCUUCUUUGGCGGUGUGUUUGUCGAGAUCCGAUGAAUUGUGGAUUUGUGAUCAGAUUAUCUAUGAUAUUUGUUUGAAUCUUUGCUAAUUUAUUAUAUGCAUUAUUUGAUAUCCUUGUAAGUCUCUCCGAGUCUUGGGUUUUGUUUGGCCAACUAGAUCUAUGAUUCUUGCAAUGGGAGAAGUGCUUGGUUUUUGUUCUGCCAUGUGGUGAACUUUCCCAGUGACAGCAGGGGCAGCAAGGCACACAUCAAGUAGUUGCCAUGAAGGGUAAAAAAAUGGGGUUAUUAUCAUUGGAUUGAGAUUAUCCCUCUACAUCAUGUCAUCUUGCUUAAGGCGUUACUCUGUUCUUAUGGACUUAAUACACUAGAUGCAUGCUGGAUGGCGGUCGACGUGUGGACUAAUAGUAGUAGAUGCAGACAGUAUCGGUCUACUUGUUUUGGACGAGAUGCCUAUAGAAAUAAUCAUUGCAUAAAUAUCGUCACGACUUUGCGCGGUUCUAUCAAUUGCUCGACAGUAAUUUGUUCACCCACCGUCUACUUGCUUUCAUGAUAGAAGCCACUAGUAAACACUACGGCCCCCGGGUCUAUUCACAUCCAUCGUUUACAUCUCCGCUUUUACUUUGCUUUGUUACUUUGUUGCUUUCAGUUCUCACUUGGCAAACAAUCUAUAAGGGAUUGACAACCCCUUCAUAGUGUUGGGAGCAAGUUUUUGUGUUUGUGCAGGAUCUGAGAUACUCCUCCACUGGAUUGAUACCUUGGUUCUCAAACUGAGGGAAAUACUUACCAUCGCUACGCUACAUCACCCUUUCCGCUUUGAGGGAACACCAACGCAAGGCUCCAAGGCCACGGGGGAAAUCCUUUGCAUACUUGCCUAGGAAGUCCCUUAAGGCAUAGCCACAGCAGGAAGAUCAAGCCAAGUAUUCUCUCGUCGACGUGCCUAUUUCUGGCGCCGUUGCCGGGGAUACACAACUGACAUCAGAAGUAUUUCUGGCGCCGUUGGAAGGUCUUUUGUUGCAGUAGCACAUGUCAAUCAAUGAAACCAGUCUUUCGUAAGCAUAUGAAUAAUGUCGGUCCGGGCCGCUUCAAUCCAACAAUACCGCCGAAUCAAGAAAAGACUAAGGAGGGCAGCAAAUCGAACAUCACAGUCCACAAAACCCUUUGUGUUCUACUAGAGAUAACAUCUACGCAUGAACCUAGCUCAUGAUGCCACUGUUGGGGAACAUUGCAUGGGAAACAAAAAAUUUCCUACAAACAUGAAGACCUAUCAUGGUGAUGCCCAUCUAAGAGAGGAGAUUUGGAUCUACGUACCCUUGUAGAUCGCAUAGCAGGAAGUGGUAAGAAACACGGUUGAUGUAGUGGAACAUCCUCACGUCCUUCGAUCCGAUCUAGUGCCGAACGGACGACACCUCCGCGUUCAGCACGCGUACAUCUCAAUGAUGAUCUCGGCCUUCUUGAUCCAGCAAGCAAGAUGAAGAAGUAGAUGAGUUCUCUGGCAGCGUGACGACGCUCCGGUGGUGGUGACGAUCUAAUCUUACAUGGCUCCGCCCGAGCUCUGCAGAAAUACAAUCUAGAGGAAGAACUAUGGUGUCUAGAUCUGAGUUGCACGGGGCAAAAGUUGACUCAAAUCAGCCCUAGACCACCACUAUAUAUAGGAGGGAGGGGGAGGAGGCUUUCCUUGAGGUCGAAGCCCUCAAGGGUGCACCGGUCAAGGGAGAGGAGGAGUCCUACUCCAAUCCUACUCCAAUUAGGAUUGGAAACUAGAGUCCUUCUCUUCCUUCCCACCUCUUUUUUUUGCUUUUAUUUGGUUUUAUUUCCUUGGUGCCAAGACCCUCUUGGGUUGUCCCACCAGCCCACUAAGUGCUGGUGCGCCACCCCUAAGGCCAUUGGGCUUCCCCCGGGUGGUUGCCCCCUUCCCGGUGAACUUCCAGAACCCAUUCGUCACUCCCGGUACAAUCUCGGUAAUGCCCGAAAACCUUCCGGUAACCAAAUGAAGUCAUCCUAUAUAUCAAUCUUCAUUUCCGGACAAUUACAGAAACCCUCGUGACGUCUGUGAUCUCAUCCGGGACUUCGAACAACAUUCGGAAACCACACAUAUAACUCAACUAUAGUAAAACAUCGCCGAACCUUAAGAGUGCAGACGCUGCGGGUUCGAGAACUAUGUAGAAAUGCCCCGAGGUACUCCUCGGUCAAUAUCCAAUAGAGGGAACUGGAUGCCCAUAUUGGAUCCUACAUAUUCUCCGAAGAUCUUAUCGGUUGAACCUCAGUGUCAAGGAUUCAUAUAAUCACGUAUAUCAUUCCCUUUGUCCUUCGGUACGUUACUUGCCCGAGAUUCGAUCGUCGGUAUCUGCAUACCUAUUUCAAUCUCGUUACCAGCAAGUCUCUUUACUCAUCCGUAAUACAAUAUUCCGUGACUUACACUUAGUCACAUUGCUUGCAAGGCUUGUGUGUGAUGUUGUAUUACCGAGUGGGCCCCGAGAUACCUCUCCGUCACACAGAGUGACAAAUCCCAGUCUUGAUCCAUACUAACUCAACGGACACCUUUGGAGAUACCUGUAGAGCACCUCUAUAGUCACCCAGUUACGUUGUGAUGUUUGAUGCACACAAGGUAUUCCUCCGGUGCCAGUGAGUUAUAUGAUCUCAUGGUCAUAGGAACAAAUACUUGACACGCAUAAAACUAUAGCAAUAAAACGACACGAUCAAUAUGCUACGUUCAUAGUUUGGGUCUUGUCCAUCACAUUAUUCUCCUAAUGAUGUGAUCCCGUUAUCAAGUGACAACACUUGUCUAUGGUCAGGAAACCUUGACCAUCUUUGAUUAUAGCUAGUCAACUACAGGCUUACUAGGGACAUUGUUUUGUCUAUGUAUCCACACAUGUAUUUGUGUUUCCAAUCAAUACAAUUAUAGCAUGGAUAAUAAACGAUUAUUAUGAACAAGGAAAUAUAAUAAUAACUAAUUUAUUAUUGCCUCUCGGGCAUAUUUCCAACAGUCUCUCACUUGCACUAGAGUCAAUAAUCUAGUUCACAUCACCAUGUGAUUUUAACGAAUCCAACACCCAUAUAGUUCUGAGGUCUGAUCACGUCUUGCUCGUGUGAGAGGUUUUACUUAACGGUUCUGAAACUUUCAGAUCCAUGUGUGCUUUACAAAUCUUUAUGUCAUCUUAUAUAAACGGUCUACUUGUCUUGGUGUACUUCGCAUUACUAUUGAACCUCUAACUAUCAAGGAGCAUAAUUAGCAUUGCGGUGCGAUCAUAAUUCUGCCAGUUUCCCAACUGUGAUUUGUUUAGCCUAGAAUAGUUGUUUAUUGUCUCUUGGGAGAGAUACAUCACUAGUGAACAUCAUGUGACUCCUGUCCAUAUCACCAUCAUUGCUUACACCUCCACUAUUUACCGCUUUCUUUACUUUUCUGUUGCAAUCACUAUUUCCUUCCCGCUUGUGUUUUAAUCCUUUGGGAACUACAAGGCCGAAGAGAUUGACAACCUCUCUGUACUCGUUGGGAGCAAAGUUAUUUGUUUUGUGUGCAGGUCCACGUCUUGUGCUAGCGCCAGGGUGGAAGACACCUACUUGUUGGUCUAGGAGUCCUCCUGGUUCAAUAAACCUUACAGUCUCUGUGUGAGGGAAAACUUGCUGCUCACUACAUCUCAACCUUCCACUUGGGGUAACCAACAAGGAGCGAGAAGUAUAUACAUCAUCUUGUCAUCAAGCUAAGUUUUCUAGCGCCGUUGCCGGGGACUCCAGUCUUCAAGAAAGGGGAGUUGCAUACUAUCUUUUACCUUUGCUUUUUCGCCUUGUUAGUUUGCUUUCUAAUUUUUUCUUUAGAGUCAUAUACCAAAAACCACAAAAAAAUUAGUUGCUUUGUUUUUGCUUGUUGCUGCUGCUAUGGGUUCCACUGAGAACACCAAGUUGUGUGACUUCACUAGUCACAACAAUAAUGACUUUAUCUACACACCUAUUGCUGCUCCCGCCACUGAGGCCACGUCCUAUGAGAUUAAACCCGCUUUGCUGAACCUAGUUAUGAAAGAUCAAUUAUCCGGUGCUGGAGAUGAUGCUGCCUUGCACUUGAACAAUUUUGUUGAGCUCUGUGAUAUGCAAAAAUAUAAAGAAGUAGAUGGUGAUUUUGUUAAACUUAAGCUUUUUUCCUUUCUCCUUGAGAGGAGGAGCUAAAGUGUGGCUUCAAUCUUUGCCUAGGAAUAGCAUAGAUUCUUGGGAUAAGUGCAAAGAUGCUUUUGUUGGCAAGUAUUACUCGCGUGCUAAGAUUAUCCAAGUGAGGAGUAACAUUAUGAAUUUUAGGCAAUUGGAUAAUGAACAUGUUGCUCAAGCUUGGGAACGUAUGAAAUCUCUUGUUAAGAAUUUCCCUACUCAUGGUUUGACUACUUGAAUGGUUAUCCAAACUUUCUAUGCAGGAUUGAACUUUACCUCACGGAAUCUGUCAGACUCGGCCGCGGGAAGAACUUUUAUGUAAACUACAAUUGGUGCUGCCACAAAGCUAUUGGACGAGAUGAUGACAAAUUAUUCUCAAUGGCACACCGAGAGAGCUCCAACAAGCAGGAAGGUAAACUCUGUUGAGGAGAUGUCCUCCCUUAAUGAUAAGGUUGACAUGAUCAUGACUCUACUUAGUAAGCAAGCUCCUAUUGAUCCUCAUGAUGUUUCUUUAAAUUCUUUGGUUGCUCAAGAAAGAGAUAAAGUGGACGUUAAUUUUAUUUCUAGGAACAACUUCAAUAACAAUGCUUAUAGGAGUAAUUCUGGUAGCAAUCCUAGACCGUUCCCAUCCAACAACUAUGGGAACAACAACAAUUAUCCUAGCACAAAAAACUCCACUUCUGAAUUAGAGAGCAUGCUUAAAGGUUUUAUCACUUUCAAAAAGCCAUCAACAAGAGUGUAGAAGUGAAACUAGAAAAAUUAGAUGGUCUCUCUUUGAAGGUGGAUAACAUAGCUCAUGAUGUAGAGAUGCUUAAAAUUAGAACUUCCCCACUUGAGGAGAGGAACACGACACCCAUGAAUGCUAUCCAAGUCCAAAUUAAUGUGAACAUAAUAAUGCUAGCCAAACUUAAAGAUAGAUGGGCUAGAGAAAAGGAAGAGGAAAAUAGAAUUAAGAGCCUUCCUACACACGCUACCAUUGCUAUUAUACAAGUUGUUGAGGAAAAGAGAAUUAAGAGCCUUCCUACACACACUCCUAGUCCCAAUGGACCUAUUAAUGGUGAUGCUAAUACCUCAACUAUAGGACAAAAAGGGUCUAUGAAUUUAGAGACUACCAAAAGAAUGAGUUUAUAUGACAUUACUACCACUUUAAUUAAUGAUAGUAACGUUGAUUUUGACAAUUAUAGUCUCUCCGAAGUUAUCACCUUUUUGCAAAGAAUGGCUAAAGACCCCCACACUAGUACACUAAAUAUUGCCUUCACCGAGCAUAUUAGCAAUGCUCUUAUCAAAGCUAGGGAGAAGAAGCUCAAGAUAGAGACUUCUAUUCCUAUAAAACAAGAAGAUGGUUGGGAUCCUAUGGUCAAAAUUAAAUUGAAUAAUAUCUCUUGCUUUGCAUUGUGUGAUGUUGGAGCUAGUGCUUUCGUUAUGCCGAAAAGAAUGUAUGAUAUGAUUGAUUGGAAAACUUUUGAUCCAUGUUAUUUUGGUGUUCGUCUUGUUGAUUCUUCCAUAAAGAAACCUUUAGGGAUAAUUUAUGAUGUGCUUAUUAUUGUCAAUGAUAAUUAUGUGCCCGUUGAUUUUCUUAUUAUGGACACUGAAUGUGAUCCUUCAUGUUCAAUUAUUUUGGGACGUCCUUCUCUCUGCACCGUUGGUGUUAUCAUUGACAUGAAAGAGGGAAUUAUUAAAUUCCAAUUUCAUCUUAAAAGGGAAUGGAACAAUUCCCUAGAAAGAAUAUUAAGUUACCUUAUGAGUCCGUUACACGGACAAGCUAUUCUUUUGGAGUUGAUAACACUUGAUCUUCUUGCAUUGUGCCUAGCUCAAAGGCAUAAAAGAAAGCGCUUGUUGGGAGGCAACCCAAUAUGUUUUUACUUUGUGUUUUAGUGGUCUUUAUGUGUAUUACUACUUUAGCAACAUCAUCGUAUCUUUAUUUUUGAGCUUUGUGCGAAGUUAUAGCCUCCAAUUGCAAGAAACAUCAAGAAUUGUGACAUGUUGUCCAGAGACAGAUUUUGUCUACUUGACGGACAAAUUCGCCAAAAAUCACAAUAUCAUCUGUUUGAUCUAAAUUGUUUUGAUAGCAUGCUCUAUACAAUUUCCUUUCUGGCAUCUGUUCUGAGUUUUUUGAUUUGAGUUGCAGAAGUGCCCCGAAUAAAUUAUUUACUACCUCAUGUUCUGUUUUUCACAGAUUCUGCCAUGUUUUGUGUUUUCAUUGUUUUGCGAAUCGUAAGCUUGCUUUUUUAUUUGCAGAAAUCUUUUAGCAUUCAUGAGAAGUAGUAGCUUUUCAUGAAAAUCUUUAUUUCCAGCAGGUAAUGAAUUAUUUUAGUAAAGGAACUAACCACUCUAAUCAGCUUAUGAUGAGUUUUGUAUGAAGGGAGUUUUCAAGUAUGCGAUGGGAGAGAUGAUGAAAGAAGAUAAAGGAGUGUCAAACGCUCAAGCUUGGGUAUGCCCCCAUGCAUCCCAAAAAAUAUUCAAGGAGAAUCAAGCGUCUAAGCUUGGGCAUGCCCCCGUGCAUCCCCUUCUCUAUCAACAAUCAUCAAGUCGUCCAUCUCCAUGCUAUAUUUUUAUCACUUCAUAUGAUAUGUGCUAUGCUUGGAGCGUCCCGCUAUGUUAUUUUUAGUUUGUUUUAGUUUUUCUUGCUCUUCAUAACAAGUCGGAACCUAUCCUACCUUGUUUGGGAGAGAGAGACACUCCAUUACACUCUAGAACACAACAUAGGUUUUCAUACUUAUCUUUUUUGUGUGUUCUUCAUCUUUUCAUAGCUAUUGUCAUGCUUAGUUCUUAGUUUUCAUGCUUAUCUUUUUAAGAGAUUUUAUUUAGGUUGAUUUUGGAACUAUCUUGAGUUAUCAUGCUUAUCUUGUUUAGAGAGUUGGCUCCUUGCACUGAGUUGUGUGUCUUGCAUGAGUAGGUAACUUAGGUUGCUAUUGAAGUAUAGUAGUAACUUGCAAUAGGUUUGAGGUAUUGAUUUAAGUAAUGUUUGGACUAUUGGUGCCAAGAGCUUGAGCCUGUUAGUGAUAGGUGUCGUAUUUUGAGAAAUCCGUGUGUUUUUCCAAAACUAAAACUUAGUUGAGAACUCUAGCUACUAACUUGAUCGCUAACCUCUCGAGGGGUUGGAAUAUAUAGAGUACCCUCACGUUACCAUGAGUCGAGGAUGCGCAAGGAUAACCAAACCCCCAAACAUUACUCCUCGGGGUACAUAUCUCUUUGAGAAUUUCCGAACUAGAUAGAGUUACCGAUAAUAAGUGUAUGAGUUCUUCGGACUAAUGUGACUAUUGGAUUGUUGGCACUUCCACCAUCCAUAUUUCAGUAGCCUCUUCGGUAUCGUGCAUUGCCCUUUCUCACAUUCAUAGUUGGUGCAAACUCCGUCGGUGCAUCUAAACCCAUGACAUGAUACGCUCUGUCAUACAUAAGCCUCAUUAUAUCUUUACUCAAAAUAGCCACCAUACCUACCUAUUAAGGCAUUUCCAUAGCCUUUUCGAGAUACAUUGCCAUGUAACAUCCAUCAUCUCAUGACUUGAUUUUCAUGUCAUACAUGCUUUUGCUUGAUCAUAGAGUCGCAUGCUAAUUGGGCCUUGCCCUCAUUACUGCUACAUGACGCGCUAGUAUCAUUGCAUAUCCUGAUACACUGGCAGAGGCAUACAUUUUCAUACAUCAUGAUAGUUUUCAGUUGUCUUUAUGUUGAGUACUUCUUAUAAAGUGUGAUGAUUUUUCUUUUGUAUUCAUGUAAAACAUAGAGUGUUGCCCUUAAGUGAGGAAAAGAUCCCAAAGUGGACAAAACAAAAGAUCCCAAACAGGACAAAUGAGAGAUACAAAGAAAGAGCCAAAGAGGCCACACACAAAAAAGAGAAAUAAAAAGAGAGAAGGGGGCAACACUACUAUUCCUUUUGAAAGAUCCACACUUGUACUCCAUUACUAUAUUGGUACUACAUAGUGAUUAUCAUUCAUGCAUAACUAUGUGGGGAUCCUUACACUAUAGAACUUGGUUUGCAUAUUCCAAUGACGAGCCUCCUCAAAAGAGCUCUAGGUCUUCAUGAGCAAAAGAGUUGGAUGCACACCCACUAGUUCCAUUGGAGAGCUUACCUUAGCUCAUAUCUACAUCCCUUACAUGGCAAUCCCAACUCCUCACAUCAUAUCUAUCAUUUGGCUUUCUCUCGCCUAUGGUUGUCCUCAUUGAUGUGAGCCUUUCACACCUUUUUGUCUUCCUUCCCCAUCAUUAUUCUAUUUUCCAUCCUAAGUGCCGACAUAUCUUGCUUACUCUCAUUCAUUGCAUGAGUACUCAAAAUCGAACUUACGAUCAUUUUGACUUGUGCCUGACAAGUGGUCUGGGGAUGAGUCAGAAUAAGAUUCCAAAGGAGACUAAGUGUGAGGUUUAGUAGAUUGAGUUCUCAAUUAAAAAAUAUAUUUUAUCUCUGAACCCAUCUCCCACUUCUUGCACUCAAACACCAUUUGGAGACAUUCAAGUCACGGACAGCGAGAGCUCUUGCACCUUUAUGUUCUUACUUUGCUAAAUUAUAGACUCUUUCUUGUUAUUGUCUUGACUUGAAUUGCAUAUCUCACUGGCUUUACUUUGAAGUUCUUAUAUGUGUGUUAGCAUGUCAUGACAUAAAUUAUUGUGUUAUCAUUUAUCUACUCGAGGACGAGAAGAAAUUAAGCUUGGGGAUAUUGAUACGUCCCAAACGUAUCUAUAAUUUCUGCUUGUUCCAUGAUCAUUUGGGUGAUAUUGUUAUAUGUUUUGCCACACUUUUAUAUCAUUUUACACAUAUUUGGACUAACCUACUAACUCAGUGCACCCAGUGCCAGUUUCUAUCUGCUGAUGUCUUUUUUGCAGGGGCUUUUACCCAUCUUUCCGAAGCCCAAAAAAAUCCAUAAAAAUAUAAAAAAAAUCAGCGAAACAGAAGCUUCGGGAUCACCGAAGGGGGGCCAGGGGCCUCCCAGGCGGCCUGCUGGCACGGCUAGGCCCUAGGCCACGCCAGGGGGUUGCCUGGGUGGGUCCCACCUCCUCCGGUGCCCUCCUUUGGCCUAUAUUUAGAGAUCCGUGAGGAAACCCUCGUAGACUUUCUGGAAUGGCGAAUUUCUCCAUCGUUCCGCCGCCUUAGCGCUUUCGAGAUCGGGAGCGUCAGGAGACCUCUUCUCGGCAUCGUGCCGGAGGGAGGAUUGACCUCCGGGAGCUUCUCCACCACCAUGGAUGCUUACCGGAUGUGCCGUGAGUAGUUUCUCUUGGACCAUGAGUCCAUGACCAGUAGCUAUGUGAUAUCUUCUCUCCAAUCUUGUGCUUCAGUGGUUAGUCCUUGUGAGCUUCCCUACAUGAUCAAGGCAUCUAUGUAAUUCUCUUGAUAUUGCUAUGCUCGGUUUGUUGGGAUCCGAUAGAUUAUGAGAUUAUGUUCAGAUUGUUAUGAGUUAUAUAUUUGAUUAUUCUUUUAUAUUUUGUUCCUUAGUGAUUCAUGCAUGUUCUCCGUUGCUUUUUAUUGCUUUGGCCAAGUAGUAGAUCGUAACUCCAAGAGGGAUUGUUAUGCAUCAUUGUCGGUUCGGGCCCCUCGAUGUCUAGCUUGAGUGACAGAAACAUGAGACUAGGGGAUGUGCUUGUUGCCACCAGGGAGAAAACAACGGUGCUUGUGACCACGUUUGCAAGGAUUGUUUACCUUACGCAUAGUUCGUUAAUGCAGUUGUCCGUUGCUUUGAGUAUACACUUUGGGUGGGGCUCGCAACUUAAUACCGGAGAGAUGUUCUGGAUAGAUAUCUCAAGGUGGAUUAUUAGUAAGUAGAUGCUGAUGAAUAAACGGUCUACUUCUCUUGGCAUUAUGCCCAUUUCUAUUGAACCUCUAACUAUCAAGGAGAAAAAUUAGCAUUGCGGUGCGAUCAUAAUUCUGUCAGUUACCCAACUGUGAUUUGUUUACCCUAGCAUAGUUGUUUAUCGUCUUUUGGGAGAGAUACAUCACUAGUGAACAUCGUGUGACUCCUAUCCAUAUCACUAUCAUUGCUUACACCUGCAGUAUUUACUGCUUUCUUUACUUUUCCGUUGCAAUCACUAUUACCUUCCCGCUUGUGUUUUUAUCCUUUGCAAACUACAAGGCCGGAGAGAUUGACAACCUCUUUGUACUCGUUGGGAGCAAAGUUAUUUGUUGUGUGUGCAGGUCCACGUCUUCUGCUAGCACCAGGGUGGAAGACACCUACUUGUUGAGCCUGGGAGUCCUCUUGGUUUGAUAAACCUUAGAGUUUCUUGUGAGGGAAAUUUGUUGCUGACUACAUCUCCACCUUCCAGUUGGGGUCCAACGAGGGGCGAGAAGUAUAUACAUCAACUUGUUAUCAUCGCCAUGCAGCCAUGCCCGCCUAGCCAUCAAGCUCUGCUGGCCACCUCUCUUGUUGAAGCGUCGUCGCGCACAUGCUCGCCUUGAACCGCGUCAUUGUAUCCUCCUUGCUGCCGAUUAGUUGUCUAGUGUGUAGAUCGGUAGAAGCAACCUUCGCGCCUCCUCUGCUCUUGCCCUUCGACAUGGCACCCCACUACAGCUUUGGACCCCCGCCACGCAAAGUUGUGGCAUGUUGCACUCUGAUGUGUUGUCAGGCUCGAAGACAGAUUUGGAACAAAGGUGCCAAGGAUUCCCCGAGAUCGACGACUUUCAGGAUCGACUUACCCAGACGUCAAGUCACGCAAGACCCGAACCGCGGCGGCCGAUGCUUAGUACCGCUACGGUUGCCCUUGAAGUCCCGUGUACAUCUACCGCCCUUGAAGUCCCGUGUACCACUACUUCCACGAUGUCCACGAUGACCCAUGUACAACUACACCGCUAUGACUCAACCCACUCCGAGAGGCAUGCGUCAAUGGUAUUACCACCGAGACGAUACCCGUGGAUGAAUGCAUUGUUGUAUGAGAGGCGAUGUUUUCCAUUUCGUAGAUGCCAUGCAAGUUGCACAUUGUUCCUCUUUUGUCGUGCCCGGACACAUGGGAACCCGAUAACCGGGAUCACCCCAUAAUUCUUGGCAUGACACGCACACGCUCCCAAUUCGUUGGCACCGGUAUCUCAUCGAGUUAUCGGGACCGGAACAUUGUCGUGGCAUCGUUUCCGUUUUGCCGCCAUGGUUCCCUUUCGUCCGCCAUGUGGACACAUGCUUCGUAUCCUUCUUGCUAGUGUUUUCAUAAAAUUGCAUGCAUGUUGCAUUCCUGACAUAGUAUCCAGUGUUGCACGUAUCUUUUAAGCGUAACUCCAUUCAAUGUUCUUAUGUGUUAUCCAACUAGAAUGACAUGUAGAAUCACAUGCUUCACCUCUUGCCAUGUUUAAACAACAUUUAAUAUUGCCGUGUACCUAAAUGGGAGUGAACUAAAUAAUUCGUAUGUGGAGUUUCGUCAAUAUGCAACUCGUUGCAUGUUGAGCUUCACUUAAUGUGUAGUGUUGAUUGUUGUGAAUUGCCAGGGCAUGCAUCAUAUUAGGUUGUGCAUCAUAUCGUGCAUGUGUCGUGGUGAAUAUCAUCUGUUGAUUCUUGUUUCCGGUUUUCUUCGUCUCGAUAGAGUUCCACAAGCGUGUCCGAAUGUGAGGAUCCGCUCGACUACAUUGGUUCAUUUGCUUCACGGAUUCGUUCUUCUUCCAAGCAGGAUCUCAGGCAAGAUGACCAUUUCCCUAGAUACCAUUACUAUCAUUGCCAUGCUAGUUGUCUCAUUUCUUUGGCUAUGUCUCCCUGCCUACCACAUGUUUAAUAAGCCUACCAAGAUUGCCAUGAAGACUUUUAACCUUUCCACAACCUAGCAAACCACUGUUUGGCUAUGUUACCGCUUGCUUAACGUUUUGAUAGUGUUGCUAGUUGCAGGUGCAGUUGCUUCCAUGUGAAAACGUGGGUUCCUUGUUAUAUGACCAUAUCAUUGCUAAUUACUUUAAUGCAUAUAUAUAAUUGGUAAAAGGUGGAAGGCUUGGCCUUCUAGCCUGGUGUUUUAUUCCACCUUUGCCACCUUAGUUUUGGCUACCGGUUUUAUAUUCCAUAAUUGAGCGCUCCUAACACGCUCGACGUUGUUAUGGGGACCCCAUGAUAAUUCGUCUUGGUUAAAGAUUGUCUGGCAAGGCCGAACUUUGGUACUACAUUUUCCUAAUAACUAAUAAAUCGCAUAGGGACCCGCCGACACCCACAGAUAAUUAAUUAAACCCCGGGCCAGAACUCGUCAUGAGUGUUGGUCCAAACUAGAUCCGUUUGCGGGGCCAACCCAGGGCAACUCAGGAGAUUUUCUAUCAGGCCACCAUAAGCUCUUCUUAUCCGUCGUGUCCUGAGAAUGAGAUACGCGUCUCCUAUCGGGUUCGUAGACAUGUGGGAAGCCUUGCUGGACAUGUUUUACCUUUUACGAAAUAUCUUGUGUAUCGGGAUUCCGGUGAUGUUGUGGGCUAUCUCAGAGUUGAGGUUUUCCACUAAGGAAUCUGAGGAGAUUACGAGUUUCGUAAUCGAGGCUUUCUCAGCGUCUUGUGGUAAUUUGUGGUGGACUAGUUGGAGCAUCCGUGCACGGUUAAAUCUUUUGGAAAGCCAUGCCCGCGGUUAUGUGGCAAACUUGGAAACUUUGUUUAAUAUUCGGUUCUAGAUAACUUGAAGUAAGAUUAAUUAAAAUAUGCCAACUAUGUGCAUGAUGACCCACAAGUAUAGGGGAUCUAUCAUAGUCCUUUUGAUAAGUAAGAGUGUCGAACCCAACGAGGAGCAGAAGGAUCUGACAAGUGGUUUUCAGCAAGGUAUUCUCUGCAAGCACUAAAAUUAUCGGUAACAAGUAGUUGUGUGGUGAGAUGAUUCACAGGAAGUAGCAAGUAACAAAAGUAACAACGGUGCAACAAAGUGUCCCAAUUCCUUUUGUAGCAAGGGACAAGCCUGGACAAAGUCUUAUAGGAGGUAAAACGCUCCCGAGGACACAUGGGAAUUUCUGUCAACCUAGUUUUCAUCAUGUUCAUAUGAUUCGCGUUAGUUACUUUGAUAGUUUGAUAUGUGGGUGGACCGGCGCUUGGGUACUGCCAUUACUUGUACAAGCAUCCCACUUAUAAUUAACCCCUCUCGCAAGCAUCCGCAACUACGAAAGAAGAAUUAAGACAAAGUCUAACCAUAGCAUUAAACGAGUGGAUCCAAAUCAGCCCCUUACAAAGCAACGCAUAAACUAGGGUUUAAGCUUCUGUCACUCUAGCAACCCAUCAUCUACUUACUACUUCCCAAUGCCUUCCUCUAGGCCCAAAUAAUGGUGAACUGUUAUGUAGUCGACGUUCACAUAACACCACUAGAUGAAAAACAACAUACAACACAUCAAAUUAUCGAACGAAUACCAAAUUCACAUGACUACUUAUAGCAUGACUUAUCCCAUGUCCUCAGGAACAAAAGUAACUACUCACAAAGCAUAAUCCUAUUCAUGACCAGAGAGGUAAUGAAUGGCAUCAAGGAUCUGAACAUAUAAUCUUCCACCAAGUAAUCCAACUAGCAUCAACAACAAAGAGUAAUUAACACUACUAGCAACCUUACAAGUACCAAUCGGAGUCGCGAGACGGAGAUUGGUUACAAGAGAUGAACUAGGGUUUGGAGAUGAGAUGGUGCUGAUGAAGAUGUUGAUGGUGACGCGUACCCUUCGAUGAGAGGAGUGUUGGUGAUGACGAUUGGGACGAUUUCCCCCUCCGGGAGGGAAGUUUCCCCGACAGGAUCGUCCUGCCGGAGCUCUAGAUUUGUUCUGCUCAAGUUCCGCCUCGUGGCGGCGGAGAAUCCUCCGAAAAUUCUCCUCUUGAUAUUUUUUGGAACGAAACUAUUCUUGUAGCAAAAGGGGGGAGAUAGAGGGCCAAGUGGGAGCCCACAAGCCCCCUAGGCGCACCCAGGGGCGAGGCCGCACCUAGCAGGCUUGUGGCCUCCUACUUGCGCCCCUCUGGUACUUCUUCGUCCCAGUAUUUUUUUAUAAAUCCCAAAAAAAUUAUCGUUGAUUUUCACGGCUUUCGGAGUUGCGUAGAAUAGGUAUCUCAAACUUGCUCCUUUUUCAGGCCAGAAUUCCAGCUGCCGGCAUUCUCCCUCUUCAUGUAAACCUUGCAAAAUAAGAGAGAAAAGGCAUAAGUAUUGUACCGUGGAAUGUAAUAAUAGCCCAAAAAGCGAUAAAUAUCAACAUGAAAGCGUGAUGCAAAAUGGAUGUAUCAGUGCAUAACCGUGACUGUCUCUUUUGUGAGCUCCUUCUCCGAUUGAGGACACGGUGGGGUUAUGUCCGACAUAACUAGGUGUUUUAGAUCAUUCAUUUGAUCAUCAUUAGUUCACGUCCGUUAUACAUAGUUCCUCCCCCUCUCUUAUUCUUGUACUCGUAAGUUAGCCACUCAAAUAAAUGCUUAGUCGCUUGCUACAGCCUCACCACUUAAACAUACCUCACCCAUUAAGCUUUGCUAGUCUUGAUACCUUUGGAAACGAGAUUGUUGAGUCCCUCUGGCUCACACAUUACUACAACAACAGUUGCAGGUACAUGUAAAGAGUUACUCUGACGUGAGCAUGAGGAUUGUUCUAUUUGGAGUUUGUUCUUCUUCAUCAUCAUCGAUCUAGGAUGGGUACCAGGCCAACAGCCUAGGAUAGCAAGGAUGGGCGUUGUUCUUUUAUCGUUUGUUUUCGUCCGUAUUCGGACCCUGCUCUUCUACAUGGUGAUUGAAUAUGCUGAUGUAUUGAUGUGAUCUUAAUGUAGCUUGUGGCGAGUGUAAGCCAAUUCCAUAUAAUCAUCUCUUUAGUACAUGUACUUGUAAUAAUAUCCAUUUUUGCGAAACUACGAGAUGCGCUUCUAUCCUUGUCGAGGCCCCCGUGCAAAAAUAAGGAUAGGAUCGCAUCUUGGGCGUUAUAAUAUUAUAGUUCAUCAUGAAGCUAUUGUAGCUAGGUGGCAGUGACUGAAGAACUCUGUCAGUGACCGUCUCAGGCGGAAGCUCAACUCCCAGCCGAGUCAAACGGUUGUAGUACCCAUACAUUCUAAGUAUGUGCUCAGUGACAUAACUAUUCUCCUCCAUCUUCGAGGCAAAGAAUUUAUCGGGCAUUUUCUUGAAAAACAAAGAUGAACUCUUGGAACAUCUCAUAUGCUCCAUGACGUUCACAAAGCCUUUAAAGUACUAAUUCUAAGCCAUAUAGCAUGGCGCACUACACUAUCGAGUAGUCAUCAGCACGUGCCUGCCACACGUUCACAACGUCCACAUACGACAUUGGAGGGGGUGCCGUACCAAGCGGAGCAUCAAGGACAUAAACCUUUUUCGAAGUCGUGAGGAUAAUCCUCACAUUACGGACCCAGUCCGCAAAGUGACUUCCAUCAUCUUUCAGCUUAGCUUUCUCUAUGAACGCAUUAAAAUUCACGGGAGCUACUGCGUCAGCCAUUAUCUAUGACAUAAUUUGCAAAGACAACUUAGACUAUUAUUCAUGAUGAUGAGUUCAAUUAAUCAUAUUACUUAAGAACUCCCACUCAAAUCAACAUCCCUCGGGUUGUCUGAGAGUAACAUGAUCCAAAUCCACCAACCCAAGUCCAAUCAUCACGUGAGAUGAGGUGGUUUCAAUGGUGAACAUCUGCAUGUUGAUCAUAUCUAUUGUAUGACUCAUGUUCGACCUUUUGGUCUCUUGUGUUCCGAGGCCAUGUGUGUACAUGCUAGGAUCAUCAAGUUUAACCCAAGUGUUCUGCAUGUGCAAAACUGGGUUACACCCAUUGUAUGUGAACGCAUAGUCUAUCAGACCCGAUCAUCACAUGGUGCUUCGAAACAAUGAAGCUUCGGAGCGGUGCACUUAUCUUGAAAUUUGAGUGAGGAGUCAUCUUAUAAUGCUGCCAUGAUCCUAAGCAAAGUAAGAUGCAUAAAAGGAUUAACAUUACAUGCAAAUCAUAAAAGUGACAUGAUAUGGCCAUAAUCAUAUUGUGCUUUUGAUCUCCAUCUCCAAAACACCGUCAUGAUCUCCAUCAUCACCCGCAUGACACCAUGAUCUCUAUCAUCAUGAUCUCCAUCAUCGUGCCACCAUUGUUGUUGUUGCUCCAACUAUGCUUCUACAACUAUUGCUAACUCAUAGUGAUAAAGUAAAGCAAAAAGGCACAAAUUAAUUGAAUAGAACCCUAUGGCUCGUGCCGGUUGCCGUACUCAUCGACAUGCAAUUUGUGACAAUCUGUACAAAACAUGAUCAUCUCAUACAUCACACAUAUCUCAUCAUGUCUUUGUCCAUAUCAUAUCACAACACACCUUGCAUAAACAAGUUAGACGUCCUUUACUUUAUUUUUGCAUGUUUUACAUGGCUUCUAUGGGUAACUAGCAAGAACCGUUCUUACCUACGCAAAUCCACAACGGUGAUAUUCAAGUUGCUAUUUAACCUUCUACAAGGACCGCCUCUGUUGAAUUUGAUUCAAAUAAAGUGGUAGAGAUAGACACCCUCCAGCCAUAUUUAUGCAACAAGUUGCAUGCGAGCCGAUGGAACCGGUCUCUCGUACGUGGACAAGAAACGCUUGUCCGGGCCGCUUCAUCCCACAAUACCGCUGAAUCAAGAUAAUAAUAAGGAAGUAAGAAAUCUGAACAUCAACGCCCACAAACACUUUCUGUUCUACUCAUUCAUGUUAUUUAUGCGUAGACCUAGAUCAUGAUGCCACUAUUGGGGAACGUUGCAUGGGAAACAAAAAAAAUCUUACAUGCACCCAAGAUCAAUCUAUGGAGAUGAACAGCUACAAGAGGGGAAUUGCAUGUGCAUACCCUUGUAUAUCGCUAAGAGGAAGCGUUAAGAAACGCGGUUGAUGUAGUCGAACGUCUUUGCGAUCCAAUCACGAUUUGUCCCGCGAUAUAAUCACGAACGUCCCAAUCAAGUGUCGAAAGGACAACACCUCUGUUCAACACUUACAGCUCGAUGGCGCCUUCACCUCCUUGAUCCAGCAAGCGAAGGUGAAGUUGUAGCUUGAGUUCCCCGGCAGCACAACGAAGUGGUGGCAGUGGCAGUGGAGCUGUCCCGACAUGGCUUCGCCAAGCGGUGCCGCGAUAGAACGAGAGAGGAACUACGAGAGAGAGAGAAGGGCUGCGCCCUGGCUUUUUCAGGUGCGGGUGCCAUCCCUCUCCUCUAGUAUAUAUAAGGGGAAGGGAGGAGGGUGGUGCCCUAGGAUUUCCCCUAGGAUGGGGCACGACCACCAAGGUGGCUUGGCACCCAAGUUAGGUGGCUUGGCACCUCUGGGCCAUCCGACCUCCUUGGCCCCAUGGGCCUUAGGUGGGAGGGGCGGCGAGCACAUCAGAAUCUGGUCCGCCACCUCUCACAACCCAUGGGGCCCUCCGGGGCUGGUGGACCCUCCUGGUGGACCCCAGGAACUCUUGUGUAACCCCCGGAUCUCAUCUGGGACUUUGAACAACCUUCGGUCACCAACACAAUAGCUCAACUACAUCUAUAUCAUCAACAAAUUUUAAGUGUGCAGACCCUGCGGGUUCGAGAACUAUGUAGACAUGACCGAGACACCUGUACGGUCAAUAACCAAUAGCGGGACAUGGAUGCCCAUAUUGGUUCCUACAUAUUCUAUGAAGAUACUUAUCGGUUGAACCACGAUGUGAAGGAUUCAACUAAUCCCGUAUGGAGUUCCCUUUGUCCAUUGGUAUCUUAGUCGCCCGAGAUUUGAUUGUCCGUAUCUCCAUACCUAGUUCAAUCCCAUUACCGGUAAGUCUCUUUACUCGUUCCGUAAUACAAGAUCCCAUUAUUAACUCCUUAGUCACAUUUCUUGCAAGCUUAUUGUGAUGUUGUAUUAUCGAGUUAGCUUUGAGAUACCUCUCCGUCAUACGGAGUGACAAAUCCCAGUCUUGAUCCAUGCCAACUCAACAUACACCCUCUGAGAUACAUGUAGAGCAUAUUUAUAAUCACCCAGUUAUGUUGUGACGUUUGAUACACACAAGGCAUUCCUUCUGUGUGAGGGAGUUGCAUGAUCUCAUGGUCAUAGGAACAGAUACAUUAACAUGCAGAAAGCAAUAGUAGCAAACUUUAUAUGAUCAGAUGAUAUGCUUACGGUUUCGGUCUUGUCCAUCACAUCAUUAUCCUAAUGAUGUGAUCCCAUUAUCAAAUGACAACUCAUGUCUAUGUCUAGGAAACCUUAGCCAUCUUUAAUCAACGAGCUAGUCUAGUAAAGGCUUACUAGGGACACCUAGUUGUCUAUGUAUCCACACACGCAUUUGAGUCUCUAAUCAAUACAAAUAUAGCAUGGAUAAUAAACGAUUAUAAUGAACAAGAAAAUAUAAUAAUAAUCACUUUAUUAUUGCCUCUAUGGCAUAUUUCCAACAGCCUGGGGUCAUGUGGGCGGCUGUGGGCGGCGAAGGGAGGCGACGACAGAGUCGACGGAGAUGGGCGGUGUCACGCGAGGCGGUGUCUGGCGGCAAGGGGGGUUGAGCGGAGGAUGGCGAUCAAGAUGAGAGCGAAAACGGAUAUGGUUCUUUUUUACUAGGUAGGGCAGUUUAAAUGAACAAGUGCUUGCGUGGGCCUAAUGGGCCUAAUGUGCAACACCAUAAGUAAGUUAGUAGCUAUGGCAUGCAAAAAUAUAGUGUUGGCCUCGCUUGGAAAUGGCGUGCCACAAACAUAAAUUGUGACUAGCCAUUUCUCCAUUUGUCUGUUAGUCAUCAAGACCAGCCGACAUGAGUCCACAGCCGAGGAUUCACGACUCUCUUCCUCGACCCUAUCAUCACGCCAUCGGUCAUCCAAAGCCCUCAUGAACAGCAACAUCAGCCUAAAACCCAUAUAUGAGGAUAACCCUGCAAAAUAUGCAGUUUAACAGAUCUUGAAUCCAACCAAGCUGACUUACCUUUGAAGGUAUAGUCCUUGAAAGGGAAACAUGUUACACUAGUAAGAUCUCCCUGGACUUGCUAUUCAGAACACCCAACAACUACUGGGUCGAGGAGUUAAUCUUCAGCAUAGUGUCGUUACAAAGAGGCUAUCACACGCUUUCUCGGCCAAGUUGUGUUCGCUAAAUUUACUUUGUCACUCAUUAUGCCUACAUGAACCUAAAGAUUCCAGGGCCCAAUGGCAUGAUCACAAUUAGUAGCAACGCUGACUGUUCACUUAAAGACAAGGACAAAAUCAUCGCUUUGGCUCUCGAAGUAGAAUCUGAGGUAGUUGGAGCUGAGGAAUUAUGUGAGUUAUGAGUAAUUGUCGAUAGAGAUGACGGUGUCCUCACCAAAUGGUUAAAAUCGACAUCAUUCUAGCCAACCAAUGAGAUUGUGAAAUUUCAAGUUCACUACGAGGAUGUGUCUAAAAUGGUCUCCAUUGGAACCCGCCUAGAUGCUGCAUUAGAUGAAGCAUUGCACAGUUUUCUGUGUGAAAAAUAAGAUAUUUUUGCUUGGCAUCCUUUUGAUAUGCCAAGCAUACAAAGAUAUCUCACGAAACACAGCGUCAACAUCAUCAAGGGGUUUAAGCCAGUUAAAUAGGCGUUGUGUCGGUUCCCAAAGACGAAGAGUUGGGCAAUGGGAGAAGAACUGGCCAAACUGCCGGAAGUUGGAUUCACCCGAGAAGCAAAACAUCUUGAUGAGUUGGCAAAUCUCGUCAUGGUACCAAAAGAGACAAAUCCUAGCGCAUGUGUAUCGAUUUCAAGGACGUCAAAAGGCUUGUCCAAAGGAUCCCUUGCCAUUACCAUGAAUCGAUCAUAUUGUCGAUGUCACGACCGGACAUGAUCUAUUGUGUUUUGUUUAUGCAUAUUCGGGUUAUCAUGAGAUGAGGUUUAAGGAAUCCGACCAAGAGGCCACAACAUUCAUAACUCCCUAUGACCCAUUUUGCUGUAACAGAAAAAAAUGUUGGCGCAACAUAUGAGUCGUAUGAUACAUACAUAUGCUUGAAAGCACAUAUUCUCCCUUGGAGGUUUUGAUAAUUCUUGAAAACAUACAUUAUCUCUUGGACUAACAAUUCUACCUAGUAUGUUUCAGUUUAAGUCCAAAGAUUGCAGAAACUGGGAAUUGUGAGGAGGAUCCCCAAGAAGGAAAGGAACAUGAUUGGCAGUGGCUUCAAGAUCUUCAAGACUCAAAAUUUGCUUUAUGUGAGAAAUCACUUUUGAGUCCAUAGGAAAGGCAAUACUAUUAAAAGGGGAUGAGGUAUCUAUGUUGAUGUGGUUGCUCAAAGUGUUUAGAGAUGCCACCAAUAUUUCCCGUAUCAGCCCCACCGAUUUUCCUUAGAUAUAACCCAAGCCGAACCCUAGCAGAUCGAUACAACUGAGAUUCACUUAGGUACAACCAAAAAGCAGUGACCACCUUGAUGUUCCCCAAUUGCUAAAAAUCAAAGUUUCUGAGUUUUGCAUUUUGGUACCACCGAGUCACUGUAACUGCCUAGGACAACUGAAUUGGUCUCAUCGAGAACCCAAAAAUCUUAGCAUUUUGCACUAGUAAGUGCAACCGAGUUUCACUUUGAUUCCACCAAGUUGGGAAAUAAUGUUGUAACGGUUGGAUUUCUGGAGAUGGCUACAUAUAGCCCUCCUAAUCCCUAUCAUUCAUAGAGAGAGCACUCAGAACAAGCAAACACUCCCACCAUUCAUUUUGAGAGAGAACCACCUACUCAUGUGUUGAGAUCAAGAUCUACGACUCCAACCAUAUGAAUCUUGAUUUCUAGCCUCCCCAAGUUCCAUUCCACCCAAUCAAUCUCUUAUACCAAGCCAAAUUCUAUGAGAGAGUGAUUGAGUGUUGAGGAGACUAUUUUUGAAGCACAAGACCAAUAAGUUAAUCAUCCAUACCAUAGCUAUUACCUUUUGGAGAGUGGUCUCCUACAUUGGUUAGGUGUCGCUUUGGAACCUCCAAAUCGUCGAGAGUUGAACCAAGAAGUUUGUAACACUACUAGAAUCAGCUUCUUUGACAUCAGUCCAUUAUUUGUCGUGUGCUUGCUGAUGGCAAAGAAGCUCUUUGUCGUCUGCUUCCAUAAAAUAGACGACAAAGAAUGCACUGAUCGAAAAUACACUAUUUGUCAUCAAUCCUUUCUUUGUCGUCUGCCUGCAGACGACAAAGAGCCCAGCUGGGCCCCACAGGACCGUGGGGAUGGUUGGGUCAAUGGAUGACAUCCACUUGUGCUUUGUCUUGUGCCUUUAGGGUCUUUGUCGUCUGCUCGCAGACGGCAAAGCCCUUCCCUAUCUAAUGACCGUUAGCCCCCUCCCCUCUCCCCCUCCGUCUCUCUCCCCCACCCUGCAACCGCCGCGGAACCACCCCCUUCCCCAUCGUCGGUGCCACCCCUCCUUCCCCCACCGGAGACGCCACCCCCUUCCCCAUCACGACGCCACAUCCCCGCGGACCUCCACUACCACAACGGCGCCACCCCACCCCCCAUGUCGUCAGAGCCACGUCCUACACCACCGCGGCGCCACCCCCUUCCUACACCUCUGACGACACCCCCCUUCCCCCACUGUAGAGCCCCCCUUCCCCGUGACCCUCCUACACCAUCGUGGCACCACCCCACCACCCCUCCCUCUCGUCGGAGCAAGGCGGCAACACAACCCCAUCCCCAUGGACCUCUGAUAACCCACAAGUAUAGGGGAUCACAAAAGUUUUCAAGGGUAGAAUAUUCAACCCAAAUUUGUUGAUUCGACACAAGGGGAAGCAAAAGAAUAUUCUCGAGUAUUAGGAGUUGAGUUAUCAAUUCAACCACACCUGAAAGACUUAGUAUCUACAACAAAGUAUCAGUAGCAAAGUGGUGUGAUAGCAACAGUAGCAAUGGUAACAGUAGCAGCAGUGACAACAGUAGCGGUAAAGUAACAGUACCAACAGUGACAACAGUAGCGAUAAAGUAACAGUACCAACAGUGACAACAGUAGAGGCAAAGUAACGUAGCAAGGACCAGUAGGAAAAGAUCGUAGGCAUUGGAUCAGUGAUGGAUAAUUAUGCCGGAUGACAUUCAUCAUGCAACAGUUAUAACAUGGGGAGAUAUGUAACUAUCUCCAGUUCGUUAAUGUAAUGUAGGCAUGCAUUCCGUAUAUAGUCAUCCGUGCUUAUGAAAAGAACUUGCAUGACAUUUAUUGUCCAUCCCUCCCGUGGCAGCGGGUUCCUCAUGGAAACUACAUGAUAUUAAGGUUCUCCUUUUAAUAGAGAACAGGAACAAAUCAUUAGCACUUAGUGAAUACAUGAACUUCUCAUACUAUGGUCAUCUCCGGGAGUGUUUCCGGCUAUUGCACUCCAGGGUUGCCGGGUCAUAACACAUAGUAGGUGACCACAAUAUGCAAGAUAGGAUGAAGGACACACAUAUAUUGACGAGAACAUAAUAGGUUCAGAUCUGAAAUCAUGGCACUCGGGCCCUAGUGACAAGCAUUAAGCAUGGCAAAGUAGUAGCAACAUCAAUCUCAGAACAUAGUGGAUACUAGGGAUCAAUCCCCAUCAAAACUAACUCGAUUACAUGAUAGAUCUCAACCAACCCAUCACCGUCCAGCAAGCCUACGAUGAGAUUACUCACGAACGGUGAAGAACAUCAUCAAAUUGGCGAUGAAGGAAGGUUGGUAAUGACGAUGGCGACGAUCUCCCCUCACCGGAGCACAGAACGAACUCCAGAUCUUCCCUCUAGAGGAAGAACAGGUGAUGAUGGCGCCUCCGUAUCGUAAAACGCGAUGAAAUCUUCUCCUUGAUUUUUUUCCGGACGAAAGGGACUAAAUAGAGCUGGAGUUGGAGGCGGCGGAGCCCUGAGGGCCCCACAAUCCUACUAGGUGCGGCGAGGGGGGCCCGCGCAUCCUGGGCUUGUGGGCUCCUCGCUCCACGCCUCUGGUUGAUUGUUGCGCCAAUAUUUUUUAUAUAUUCCACAAAAAAUCCUCGUAAAUUUUCAUUCUGAGAACUUUUAUUUCUGCGCAAAAACAACACCAUGGCAAUUCUGCUGAAAACAGCGUUAGUCCGAGUUAGUUCCAUUCAAAUCAUGCAAAUUAGAGUCCAAAACAAGGGCAAAAGAGUUUGGAAAAGUAGAUAUGAUGGACAUGUAUCAACUCCCCCAAGCUUAAAGCCUUGCUUGUCCUCAAGCAAUUCAGUUGACAAACUGAAAGAGACAAAAGAAAAACUUUUACGAACUCUGUUUGAUCUUGUUGUUGUAAUCAUGUCUAACUCAUAUUCAGAUUUUCAAUAAGAUCAUAAGCUAACCACGUAAGCAAUGACAUUAUGUCUCAUGAAGUACUCAUAUCAAUGGCAUAAUCAACUAGCGAGCAAUAAUAAUAAGUUUCAAACGUCAACACUUCAAUCAAAACAAUCAUGAAGCAAUAUGAACAGAUGGUAUCUCGCUAGCUCUUUCUGAGACCGCAAAACAUAAAUGCAGAGCACCUUCAAAGACCAAGGGCUCACUGAACAUUGUAAUUCAUGGCAAAGAAGAUCCAGUCACAGUCAUACUCAAAAACAAUUUAUAGCAAAGCAUAAAAAUGACGGAGAUAAAUAAUUUUGGGUUGCAUGCUUUCGUUGUCAACGCGAUGGCCAAGAGUUUUCACCAUCUUCCAUGCUACACAUUGAAAAGUAAAGUUUUGACUCUCCCACCACCGAUCAAUCACACUCCACGACUAGCCGAAUCCUCGGGUGUCGUACAUACCAACAACAAUCCAGGGGGAGUUUUGUUUACAAUUAUCUUUUCAAUUUGAGCAUGGAACUGGGCAUUCCAAUUACUGGCCCUUUUCUCGUGAGUGAUAGUGAAUAAACACAUAUCGAGGAUAACAUGCCUAGCAUGGAAGAUACUGACCGCCCCUUGUCGCCACAUGAGCGGUUCGGGCAUGCAAAACAGAUUAUUUCUUGAAGGUUUAGAGAGUGGCACAUGCAAAUUUUCUUGGAUCGGCAGGUAGAUACCGCGUAUAGGUAGGUAUGGUGGACUCAUAUGGAACGACUUUGGGUUUAUCAAAGUGGAUGCACAAGCAGUAUUCCCGCUUAGUACAAGUGAAGGCUAGCAAAAGACUGGGAAGCGACCAACUAGAGAGCGACAACAGUCAUCAAAAUGCAUUGAGAUUAACCAACAUUGAGUGCAAGCAUGAGUAGGACAUAAAUCACCAUAAACAUGAAUAUCAUAGAGGCUAUGUUGAUUUUGUUUCAACUACAUGCGUGAACAUGUGCCAAGUCCAGCCACUUGAAUCAUUCAAAGGAGGAUACCAUCCUAUCAUACUACAUCAUAAUCAUCUCAAAAUUCAUGUUGGCAUCCAAGACAAACCAUUAUAAGCUCCUAGCUAAUUAAGCAUGGCAUCAAAAACUAUGAUCUCUAAGUUGUCAUUGCAAACAUGUUUCUUUAAAAACAAAGCUGAAUUAGGAACGAUGAGCUAGUCAUAUUUACAAAAACAAAAUAGAUCGAGUUCAUACCUGCUUUUCCAGGCUCAGUCACUUCAUCACAUAUCGUCAUUAUUGCCUUUCACUUGCAUGACCGAAUGAUGUGAACAAUAAUAAGAGUGUUCGUGCAUUGGACUAUGCUGGAAUCUGCAAGCAAACACAAAGGAGAAGACAAAGUAAUAUGGCUCUUUGACAGAUAAACAGAUAUGCAUGCGAGAGCCACUAACACUGUAACCAUGGUAUUUUACCUUGACCCAAAGAAAAAGAAAGCUAUUUACACGGAAAGCUCCCAACAGGCAAAAGAAGAACGAGAAAUCUUUUUGGGUUUUCUCAAACUAGACAAACACACGAGAAGAAAGCAAGAAAAAAGAAAUAAACUAGCAUGGAUGAUACAGUGGCAAAGUAUGAACACCAACUAACAAAGUGAAAGUGUAAGCAAGAAUAUAAAGUCGGUGAGAAACACGUACUCCCCCAAGCUUAGGCUUUUGGACUAAGUUGGUCUACUCCCAUGGCUGGUCCAGGCGAUAUCCAAAAUCAUAAUGGGGGUUGUACGAGAACGCGGCAGCUACCGCGUGAAUAGCUGCCUCACGGAGGUGAGCAGCCUUUGCCACCCUCUCAUACUCAUGUAACUCUCCUCUGGUUAUGUAAUAUCUCCAUUUUACCUGAAAGUCAAAGAAGGCAGGAGCAAGAAGGGUAAUAUGGAAAACACGCUGUCGGUUAAAUAUUAACCGGUAUAGGAGGGAUUCAUUAUCCCUCUCAAGAAAUUGAUAACGUGUCAUAGCGGUGCGAUCAAGGAAAGCUGUAUGGGGUGGGGAUCUCCUUCGAGGAUGGAUACUCCAAGAAAAUUUGCUAUGCGAGUGGCAUAGAUCCCACCAAACAAAUCCCCUUAAUUAGCAUUAUUGUUUAGCCUCCUCACUAUUAUAGCUCCCAUGUUGAAACUUCUAUCACCCGUUACUGCACUCUUAAGAAUACUAAGGUCAGGUGCGCAGAGGUGACAAUGCUCAAUCUUGUCGUUAAUGCAUCUACCUAUGAAGAGGGCAAAGUAAUGCAAGGCAGGAAAAUGAAUGCUCCCCAUGGUAGCCUGCGUAAUAUCUCUAGUUUCUCCGACAGUUAUACUAGAGAUAAAAUCUCUAACCGAAGACUUAGGAGGAUCAUUGAGACUACCCCAAUCAGGUAUCUUGCAAAUUCUAUUGAAAUCCUCUAAAUCCAUGGUAUACGAUUUGUCAUACAGAUCAAACAGUAUGGAUGUGUCACGGCUAGCUGAAAAUUUGAAUCUACGAACAAAAGAGGCAGUGAGAGUAGUAUACCGUUCACAUUUGUCGGAGAUGAAUUCUUCGAGCCCGACGUUGUGACCAAGUGUAUCAAACUCGUCUUUGAAACCUGCAUCAAUCAUGAUUUCAUCAGAAGGCCAUUCACAUGGUUGUACCUAUGCGUUCCUCGGUUGGUAAGGAUCGGGCUCCCGAAUCGCGAGACGGGGAUCCCUCUUGCUUGAUGAACCACCAUGCUAGUUUCUCCUGGAUAUCUUCCUUUUCUGAAAUUUUUAGUGACUCAAAGGAAAAGUGAAUAAGGCUCAAUGAAACUCAUGGCAACUACUCCUACAAGUGCCUAGAGUUCAUAUCACGCAUCAAAACUACUUGGGACCAGCUAAAAUUAGCAUGCAAAGCUCAAGAACGGGGUCACCAAGGCGGCAAUAAUACGCAACGAAUAAGGCACUAGAGCAAAAACUAAUUGGACCAUUGGAGGAGUCACAUACCAAGGAACAAUUCCCCCAAAACAGUUUGGUGAAUAGGGCUUUGCACAAGGAGAUCGAAAAUCGUAGCAAGAAGAGCAAGAACACGGGUUUGAGUUGUAGAAUGAAUUUUUCUAGAGGUAGGAGAAGGAGAUGGGAGCUGGAAUAAGUGGAGGGGGACACGUGGGCCCCACAAGCUUGGUAGGCACGGCCAAGGGGGUGCCCGCGCCUCCUGGGCUUGGGGCCCACUCGUGCAUCCCCCUGACUAGCUCUCCGUCUCAGAAUUUUUCAAAAAUUCCAGAAAAAAUCAUACUUGAUUUUCAGGGCAUUUGAAGAACUUUUAUUUUCGGGUCACUUUUCUACGGGAUGCAAAAAGCAGAAAACAGGAGAAACUAAAGCUAAAUCUAUCAUUUUCCUUCUAAACAACCGAAAGUAAAAGAUCGGGACAGAGGGUUGUGACUCCUAGACUCAUCCAUCUCAUGGUCAUCAAAAGAAAUCCGUCAAUGAGGUUGAUCAAGUCUCCUUGACAAACUUUUUUUGAAUCGCGUAAAAACAUUGAAUUUUUGAAUAGUCACUAGGUUACCUCAAUGGGGAUGUGCAUAUCCCCAACAAGCAAAUCAUACUUCAUCUUAACAACAGGUAUAGGGCAUUCAAAGCUCCCAAUAAGAAUCGAUGAAGUUUUUUCAAUAGCAUUGAUGCAAUGUACUCGUUGUUGUUUAUUCGGAAAGUGCACCGUAUGCUCAUUACCAUUGACAUGGAAAGUGCCUUUGUUGCAAUCAAUAACAGCCCCUGCAGUGUUUAAAAAGGGUCUUCCAAGGAUGACCGCCGUGGCAUCAUCCUCAGGAAUAUCCAGAAUAACAAAGUCCGUUAAGAUAGUAACGUUAGCAACCACAACAGGCACAUCCUCGCAAAUGCCGAUAGGGAAAGCAGUUGAUUUGUCGGCCAUUUGCAGGGAGAUUUCAGUGGGUGUCAACUUAUCCAAUUCAACUCUACGAUAAAGAGAGAGAGGCAUAACACUAACACCGGCUCCAAGGUCGCAUAAAGUAGUUCUAACGUAGUUGCCUUUAAUGGAGCAAGGUAUAGUGGGCACUCCGGGAUCACCUAGUUUCUUAGGAGUUCCACCCUUCAAGGUGUAAUUAGCGAGCAUGGUGGAAAAUUCAACCUCACGUAUCCUCCUCCUAUUAGUCACAAUAUCUUUCAUGUACUUGGCAUAGGGAGACAUUUUGAGCAUAUCUAUCAAAUGCAUUUGCAGAAAGACAGGUCUAAUCAUUUCAACAAAUCGCUCAAAAUCCUCAUCAUCCUUUUUCUUGGAUAGUUUGGGAGGAAAGGGCAUGGGUCUCUGAACCCAUGGUUCCUAGCAGUCAAGUCAUUCUUAUCGUAUCUCCUAUUUUUAGGUUGUGGGUUGUCAAGAUCAACUGGGUCAAUCUCCACAUCCUUCUCAUUGCUAGGUUGAGCAUCAUCAUGAACACCACUAUCGAUAUUAUCACUAGGCUCAUGUUCAUCACCAGAUUGUGUUUCGGCAUCAGAAACAGAGACAACGUUUGGAUUCUCGGGUGUAACAGCGGCAGGUUUUCUAGCAUGCAAGUUCCUAUCAUUUUCUUUUUCUUCCUAGGAUGACUAGGUGCCUCGGUGCUGACUCCUUGAGAAUCUUGUUCAAUUCUCUUAGGAUGACCCUCGGGAUACAAAGGUUCCUGGGUCAUUCUACCACCUCUAGUGACGACUCUGAUAGAAUUGUCAUUCAGCUCAUUGAGCAAGUCAUUUUGAGCCUUAAGUACUUGUUCUACUUGAGUAGUAACCAUAGAGGCAUGUUUACUCAAAAGCUUAAGAUCAUUGACGUUUCUAUCCACACAAGCACUUAAAUGACUAAGCAUACGAGCAUUCUGUUCCAAUUCUCUGCUAACAUAAUCAUUGAAACUUUGUUGUUUGGCAACAAAGUUAUCAAAUUCCUCCAGGCAUAAGCUAGCAGGUUUAUCAAAAGGAAUAUCACUCUCAUUGAAUCUAUGAAGAGAAUUUACCUCUACUAUCUGUGUCGUGUUAUCAAGACCAUGGAUCUCUUCGAUAGGUGGUAGAUUUUUGACAUCUUCAGGUUUAAUGCCUUUCUCUUUCAUAGAUUUCUUAGCUUCUUGCAUAUCUUAAGGACUGAGGAAUAGAAUACCUCUUUUCUUCGGAGUUGGCUUCGGAGGUGGUUCGGGAAUAGUCCAAGCAUUCUCAUUGCACAAGAUAUUAUUCAAUAGGAUCUCAGCUUGUUCCACAGUUCGUUCCCUGAAAACACAACUAGCACAACUAUCUAGGUGGUCCCUAGAAGCAUCUGUUAGUCCAUUAUAGAAGAUAUCAAGUAUUUCAUUCUUUUCAAGAGGGUGAUCAGGCAAAGCAUUCAGUAGCUGGAUGAGCCUCCCCCAAGCUUGUGGGAGACUCUCUACUUCAACUUGCACAAAGUUAUAUAUUUCCUGCAAGGCAGCUUAUUUCUUAUGGGAAGGAAAAUAUUUCUCAGAGAAGUAGUAGAUCAUAUCCUGGGGACUAUGCAUACAACCAGGAGCAAGAGAAGUGAACCAAGUCUUAGCAUGACCCUUUAGCGAGAAAGGAAACAGCUUAAGGAUAUAGUAGUGGCGGAUCUUUUCCUCACUCGUGAAUAGGGUGACCAUAUCGUGCAGCUUAGUAAGAUGUGCUACAACCAUUUCAGACUCAUAACCAUAAAAAGGAUCAGAUUCGACCAUAGUGAUUAACUCAGGGUCGACAGAUAAUUCAUAAUCCUUAUCGGUCACAAAGAUAGGCGAAGUAGCAAACUUCGGGUCGUAUUUCAUCCUAGCGUUCAAAGAUUUUUCUUUCCACUUGCGCAGUAAUUUCUCAAGAUCAUAUCUAUCCUUACAAGCAAGAAAGUCCUCAGCUAUCUCUCCCUCCAUAACAUAACCCUCGGGUAUAUCAGGAAAUUCAUAUCUAGGAGAGCUAGUUCUAACAGGUGAAAUAGCAGGUUCUACUUCAAUAAUAUCAGCAGUUUCAGAAGUAUCAUCCCAUUCAGCAGGAACUCUAGCAAUAUGUGCAUCAAGGAAUGCACCUAGUGGCAAAGCAGUAUCAAGCAAAGUAUCAUCACAAGCAUCAUGGAUAGCAGAAGUAGCAUCAUCAAGCAUAGACGACACAUAAAAAAUUCUAGCAGGAGGUGGUGUCGCAAACUUACUGAUAACUGAAGGCGAAUCAAGUGCGGAGCUAGAUGGCAGCUCCUUACCCAUCCUCGUAGUUGAGGGCAAGACUUUAGUUUUUGGAUCUCUCGAAUUCCUCAUAGUGAUCAACAUACGUAAAUCCCAAGUGACUCAGAGAAUAGAGCUAGGCCUCCCCGGCAAUGGCGCCAGAAAAUAGUCUUCAUAACCCACAAGUAUAGGGGAUCGCAACAGUUUUCGAGGGUAGAGUAUUCAACCCAAAUUUGUUGAUUUGACACAAGGGGAAGCAAAAGAAUAUUCUCGAGUAUUAGCAGUUGAGUUAUCAAUUCAACCACACCUGAAAGACCUAGUAUCUGCAGCAAAGUAUCAGUAGCAAAGUGGUGUGAUAGCAACAGUAGCAAUGGUAACAGUAGCAGAAGUGACAACAGUAGCGGUAAAGUAACAGUAGCGGCAAAGUAACGUAGCAAGGACCAGUAGGAAAAGCUCGUAGGCAUUGGAUCGGUAAUGGAUAAUUAUGCUGAAUGACAUUCAUCAUGCAACAAUUAUAGCAUGGGGAGAUAUGUAACUAGCUCCAGUUCGUCAAUAUAAUGUAGGCAUGCAUUCCGUAUAUAGGCAUACGUGCUUAUGAAAAGAACUUGCAUGACAUCUAUUGUCCAUCCCUCCCAUGGUAGCGGGGUCCUAAUGGAAACUACGGGAUAUUAAGAUUCUCCUUUUAAUAGAGAACCAGAACAAAGCAUUAACACUUAAUGAAUACAUGAACUCCUCAUACUAUGGUCAUCUCCGGGAGUGGUUCCGGCUAUUGUCACUCCGGGGUUGUCGGGUCAUAACACAUAGUAGGUGACUACAACUUGCAAUAUAGGAUCAAGAACACACAUAUAUUGACGAUAACAUAAUAGGUUCACAUCUGAAAUCAUGGCACUUGGGCCCUAGUGACAAGCAUUAAGUAUGGCAAAGUAGUAGCAACAUCAAUCUCAGAACAUAGUGGAUACUAGGGAUCAAUCCCCAUCAAAACUAACUCGAUUACAUGAUAGAUCUCAUCCAACCCAUCACCUUCCAGCAAGCCUACGAUGAGAUUACUCACGAAUGGUGAAGAGUAUCCUGGAAUUGGCGAUAAAGGAAGGUUGGUGAUGACGAUGGCGACGAUCUCCCCUCUCCGGAGCCCAGAACGGACUCCAGAUCUGCCCUCCGGAGGAAGAACACGUGGUGACGGCGCCUCCGUAUCGUAAAACGCAAUGAACUCUUCUCCUUGAUUUUUUUCCAGAUGAAAGAGACUUAAUAGAGAUGGAGUUGGAGGCGGAGGAGCCCUGAGGGCCCCACAAUCCUGCUAGGCGCGGCCAGGGGGGGCGCGCCUCCUGGGCUUGUGGGCUCCUCGCUCCACGCCUCCGGUUGAUUCUUGUGCCAGUAUUUUUUAUAUAUUCCACAAAAAAUCCUCGUAAAUUUCCAGGUCAUUCCAUGAACUUUUUUGCUGUUGCACAAAAACAACACCAUGGCAAUUCUUUUGAAAACAGCGUUAGUCCGGGUUAGUUCCAUUCAAAUCAUGCAAAUUAGAGUCCAAAACAAGGGCAAAAGAGUUUGGAAAAGUAGAUACGAUGGAGACGUAUCAACCUCCUCCACCACUGCAGCCCUCCUCUACCAUCGUGGCGCCACCCCCCUCCAAGAUAGUCCAUUUUUAGUUUUGGCGGAUUUUUUUUGUUUUAGUUUUGGUAGUUUUGGUAGUUAGUGGUUCUCGUGUGCAACAUACACCAUCUAUAAAUUGAAAAUAUAGUUAGCUACUACUGGUGUCCUUCGCUGCUCGAUUGGGUGGGGGAGUCAUGAGGGUUAAGCAUAGUCACCGCCUAGUCCUUUCAUUUUCAUUUUAAAUAUAUGUCCGUGAAAUCUCGGGAGCGUGGGAGCGUGAUAGUGUUUCGGAAGGCCAGUGCGUGAUCUGAAAUGUGUUUUGGCGGGAGCGAGAUGACGAUGGCCAAAAUUUUGGAGUGGGGUUGGCAUGGGAGGAAACUUUGUGCCUUCUUAUUGGUCCAUCCGACGCUCCCAUGGAUUGCUAACAUCAGCUCGAUCUUAGCCGUUCAUCCUACCUAGAUCCUAUGGCUCAGACACCAAGUCAUGUGGAUCACGCCCUAUUAAAGAUUUUUACUGCUCCGACCUAUACUUUAUUGACGACACACAAUUAAAUAAAGAGAGAAAAAUACUAGAAAACUACUAUAGGCUAAAUAUAAACACACGGGACUAAAAAGUAAAUAUUGAAAUAGAUCUUUCUAACUACAACCUCUACUACUUUAUGGAUACACCAAAAUAAAUAUUUGGUAGUAGUGUUUAUUUUCUUUCGUACACCACCAAAAUUUCAAGUGUGCAUUGCAUCGGAUAGACCGUUGAGUCCACGAUGCCCCCAACACCGAUGGGCUAUACACUGCCUCGUAACAAUAACACAGGUGAUAUGGUGCGUGUGUGGAGGCCAUGUGGUACCGAUUCCCCUUGAUGCGGAUAUGUUAGAUGGUGUAGCGGCAUAUUAACAUUGAUUAGCUAAUAAAUGUUAUAUACUUAGCUUGUUUUUCUUUAAAAUUCAUAAUUAGCUUAGUUAGGUCAAAAAUGGCAUAAUAACCUUGGCUAGCUCAUAAAUGUCAUAUACCUAGCUUAUUUUACUCCAAAAUGAUAUAAUAAGCUAAAAAAUGGCAUUGAAAGAAAACAUAAAGAAUCGAAGAGGAAAGAGAACAAAAAGAAAGAAUAAAAUAAGAAGAAUGAGCUUCUUCUUUCUUUCUUCUUAUUAUUUCCCUUCUCUUGCUUCUUCUUUUGCUUCUUCUUCUUCUUCUUCUUCGUCUUCUUCUUCUUCUAAUAUUCUUCUUCUUCCUCUAAUCUUCUUCUUCUUCUUCUUCUAGUCUUCUUCUUCUUCUUAUUAUUAUUAUUAUUAUUAUUAUUCUCGUCUUCUUCUUCUUCUUGUACUACUACUACUACUACAACUUCUUCAUCAUCUUCUUCUACUAAUACUACUACUACUACUACUACUACUACUACUUCUUCUUCUUCAUCUUCUUCUUCAUCGUCAUCUUCAUCUUCUUCUUCUUCGUCGUCUUAUUCUUCUUAGCUAAUUAUCCCCCAAAAUGAGAUAAUUAGCUUAUUUAGUUCAUUUAUGACAUAAUUAGCUUAGUUAGGUCAGAAAUGACAUAAUAACCUUGGUUAGAUCAUAAAUGUUAUAUACUUAGCUUGUUUUCCUCUAAAAUGACAUAAUUGGCUUAGUUAGGUCAAACUGGCAUAAUAACCUUGGUUAGCUCAUAAAUGUCAUAGAAUUCAAUGCCCAAGAAGCGACCCUAUCCUUAUUUUGGCACGAGGGCCUCGACAGAGAUAGAAGCGUAUGUUGUCAUUUCGCAAGAAUGGAUAUUGUUACAAGUACAUGUAGAUAAGAGAUGAGUAUAUCGAAUUGGCUUACACUAGGCACAAGCUAAAUCAUGAACAUCUCAAUACAAAAAUACAUUCAAACAUCAUGUAGAAGAGCAGGAUCCGACUACACAGUAAAAAUAAAUGAUAAAAGAAUGACGUCCAUCCUUGCUAUCCCAGGCUGCCAACCUGGAACCCAUCCUAGAUCGGUGAUGAAGCAGAAGAAGAAAUUCCAAAUAGAAGAAUCAUCACACUCACGUCAAAGUACCACUUUACCUCUACCUACAAAUGUUUUUCUAGUAAUAUGUGACCCACUGGGACUCCACAACCUCAUUUCCAAAGGUAUCAAGACUAGGAAAUCUUAAUGUGUGAGGUAUGGUUAAGUGGUGAGGCUGCGGCAAGCAACUACACAUUUGUUUGGGGUGGCUAACUUACGAGCACAAGAAAUAGAGGGGGGUUGAUCUACGCUUGACGGUCGUGAACUAAUAAUGAUCUCGAAGUGAUCCUAAAGACCUACUUACGUCAAACAAAACCCCACCAUGUCCUCUUCUGGAUAAGAACUCACGAGAAGAGACAGUCACGAUUACGCACAUAGUUGGCAUAUUUCUAGUUAAUUUUACUUCUCGUUUGCUAUGACCGUGUGUUAAACAAAGCUUCCAAGUUGCCAUAUAACCGCCGGCACGGCUCUCAGAAAGAUUUAACCCUGCAGGGGUGCUCCAACUGGUCCAUCACAAACUAGCACAAGCUGCGUCGAAAGCCUCGACCACGGAAAAUCCGUGAUCUCCUCGGAUUCCUGGUGGAGAACCUAAAUCUUGAGAUAGCCCAAAGUAUGCUCAAAAUCCCUCGCACAAGAGGUCUGAGAAGGGUAAAACCAAUCCAUCAAGACCGCCCAACAUGGCAAUGCCCCCGAUAAGAGCCGCUUAUCUCAUUCCCAAGACACGUCAGAUAAGAGAAGCGUACGGUGGCCUGAUAGAAAUCAUCCAAUUUGCGAUGCGUUGGCCCCGCACAAUGCUCUGGUUUGGACCAACACUCAUGAAGAGCACUGGCCUAGGGGGUUUGAUUAAUUAUCCACGAGGUGAUCAGUGCCUUAUGCAAGUUUUAUUAGUUGUUAUUAAGCAAAUAGUACCAAUGUUGGGCUUUCCAAAUGAGUUUUAUCCUAAAAAGUAAAGUCAAGGGGCCCCCCAUAAUAACCCCAAGUAUGUUAGGAGCACUCAGUAUGGAACAUAACACCGGUACACAAGUGACUAAGGCGGCAAAGUUGGAACAAAACACCGAGCUAGAAGGCCAAGCCUUCCACCUCUUACCAAGUAUAUAGGUGCAUUAAAUUAGCAAUAAUAUGGUGAUAUAACAAGGAACCCAUGUUUUCACAUGGAAGCAACUACACCUACAACUAGCAACGCUAUAAGAAGGCUCAGCAAGCGGUAACAUAGCCAAACAAGGGUUUGAUGGGUUGUGGAGGGGUUAGAGGCUUUCAUGCCAAUGUUGAGAGGCUGAACAUAAUAGGUGGUAGGCAGCGAGUCAUAGCGUAAGAAACGAGACAACUAGCAUGGCAAUGGUAGUAGUGUUAUCCAGGGAAAUUAUCAUCCUAUCUGUAAUCCCUCUUAGUAGAAGAAUAAAUCCGUGAAGCAAAAUCCUCACACUUCGAGACGCUUGCGGAACUCUGUCGAUAAGAAGCAAUCCAGAAACAACAAUCGACACACAAUAAACACCACAACAUAUGCAUGACACAAUGCAGAAACACGUGUGAUGCAUGUCCGGUUUAGUUAUGCAAGGCACAGCAAGCACAACAAUCAAUUACUACACAUUAAGUGAAAUUCAAUAUGCAACGAGUUGCAUAUUGAUGAAACACCAUGUUCUAUUUAUUUAGAUCACUCUCGCUUAGGUACACAUAAAUAUUAACUGUUGUUUAACAUGGAAAGAGGUGAAGCAUAAAUAAACUACAUUAUCUAGGCAUUUUAAAUGAGGUCGGAAACAACUUAUAGUAUUUCUGGUAUGACCCCAUAUGUUAAUUUCCAAGUUGGUCCAGAUCUGUAAUAAACAUAUUUUAUAUUUAUUAAACAACAAAAUAAAGUGGACCAUGUGAUUCUACACGUCAUUAUACUCCAUUUACAUAUAUAGACAAUUGCAAACGGAGCUACAGUUUAAAAGAUAGGACCACCACAAGAUAAAAUGUGGUAAAUGCAAAAUGUAUGCAAAUGACAGCUACAAUCAUGUUGAAUCAUAUAUGCAACAAGAUAUUAUGAAACUACAUGAGAUUCUAAGCAAGUUUCAUAUAUGGCACGUUCAAAAUGGAGCAACCACUACUGGAAUUCAGUUAUUUGCCGUCAGCCUCUUCUUUGUCGUCUGCUGGCUGAUGGGAAAGACCAUAUUUGCCGUCAGUCACCAGAAAACUGACGGCAAAGAGCAGACUGAUGGCAAAGAUACUAUUUGCCAUCAGUCUUGUCUUUGCCGUCUACUAGCGCACGGCAAAGAGCAGGAGGCCAGACGACAAAGAAGAGGCUGANUCCUCCCCGGCUGCCCACCGCCCCGACGGCCCACUGCUCGGCUGCCCCACCGCCUCGGCUGCCCACUACCCUCCUCUAAUAGGUGAGUUUGUUUUUUGUUAUUUGAUAAGAUUUAGUUAGUUGAUUUAGUUAUUUGAUCUAGUGGUAGUUUUGUUAGUUGUUUUAGUUAAAUAGUAGAUCUAGUCCUAGGUUUAGUUAAUUAGUGCUAGGUUAUUUGUUAUUUGCUAAUUUAGAGGUAGAUUCUAUUUUGUUAAUUAGUGGUAGAUUCUUUUUUAGUUAAUGAUUGGUAGAUUCUGUUUUUGUUAUUUUUUUGUUGUUUAGUGCUAUAUAGGUUUAGCGAUAGGUUUAGUGAUAGGUUUAGAUUCUACAUAGUCAUAAUUGAAAUAAGUAGAAAAAGGAUGAAGAAUAAAAGAAGAAUAAGUAGAUAAGGGAAGAAGAAUAAGAAGANNNNNNNNNNNNNNNNNNNNNNNNNNNNNNNNNNNNNNNNNNNNNNNNNNNNNNNNNNNNNNNNNNNNNNNNNNNNNNNNNNNNNNNNNNNNNNNNNNNNNNNNNNNNNNNNNNNNNNNNNNNNNNNNNNNNNNNNNNNNNNNNNNNNNNNNNNNNNNNNNNNNNNNNNNNNNNNNNNNNNNNNNNNNNNNNNNNNNNNNNNNNNNNNNNNNNNNNNNNNNNNNNNNNNNNNNNNNNNNNGAAGAAGAAUAAGAAGAAGAGGAGGAGGAGGAGCAGGAGGAGGAUAAAAAGAAGAAGAAGAAGAAAAAGAAAAAAGGAGAGAGGAGAAGAAUAAAGAAGACGAAAAAGGAAAAGAAGGAAGAAGAAGAAGAAGAGGGAAAUGGAAAAGAAGGAGGAAGAAGAAGAAGAGGAAGAAGAAGAAUAAGAAGAAGAAGAAGAAGAAGAAGAAAAGGAAGAGGAGGAAAAAAAGAAGAUGAUGAAGAAGAAAAUGACACCCUGACACCCCGACACCCCGACACGAUGCCCGAAACCCCGACACGACAUCUUGACGACAACUUGGCAGAAAACUCCACGCAGCU
RNAcentral lists this long non-coding RNA (57193 nucleotides) under Hordeum vulgare. RNAcentral's name for it is "long non-coding RNA (HVUL_LNC007548)". Lineage: Eukaryota; Viridiplantae; Streptophyta; Magnoliopsida; Poales; Poaceae. The record is from RNAcentral.